CCCCUCCCCCUAACCCCUUUCCUAUUUGUAUGAAAUUUGCAGUUGUGGCUAACUUACUCAAAUCUCUUUCUUUGUUCAUGGUGGUCUAUAUUUAGGGGUGUUCGUUUUGGGUGCGUUUUAAUCUUGCUGGUGUUGUACUGACUUAAACUUAACUGCGGUUGUUUGAUGUUGAUGUUUACUCCUUCCUCGAUAAGGAGGUGAUGGUGGUACACUCUGUUUCAAACAACAGUAGUUCAAGUUUUUACUGGUUCGUGCGUUGUUGUGUUUUGUUGAAGUUUGAGUUCGGUUUUCUGGGUCUGGGUGGGAUGAGUUUUCGUUUUUGAUUGGUGUUUUUUACGGGGGUUUUUGGUGUUGGUUCCAAAUGGUGGUGUUAGUUUGAGGGUGAUGUGGGUGGUUUUAGUGUUGAUAGCUCAAGGUGGUUGUUGAUGUUAAAUUGUGGGUUGGAAUGUUAACAGUGUCCUGUUUUGUAUGGUAGUGAUUUUUUAUUUGUGGUGAUGAUGGUGAGGAGCUUGUGGGUUGUUUUUGUUUUUGGGAGUUUUGUGUUUUUCUUCCACUGUCUGCUUGUGGUGACCUUCGAUCUAUGUCCAUCAAUGUUAUCGCUGGCUCUUGCCGAUUUAGGGAUGUUUUUUAUAUUGGCUCAUGGUUUGUUUUUUGGGCUGUUUUUGAUUUUGGGUUGUUUUAGAGUUGGGCUCUUUUCCAAUUUGGUUUUGUUUACAGUACCGCUCCACCUGUUGAUUGCUUUAGGAAUUUGUCAUCUGGAUUCUGGUGGAUCGAUCGUUUUUGCUUCAAGAUCGGGAGUUAGUGUCUUUGUUCAAUCUUUUGGGUUGUUAUUAUCUCUUCUCUUGUAUGACUGGAGUUUAGGGGUGCCUCUGUGAUUUGUUUCUAGAGUUUGGUUGGACGAUCUCAUUUGGUUCGAGAUUGAGAGUCAAUUUCUAGACUAAUGUUUAUUGGGCUUGUUAUAGUGUUUUCUUCGAUGGGCAAGGGGUCGAUUGGUAGUGGAAUAUGAAUGAGUGUUGGUAUAAGUGGUGUUCAGAUGUUUAUUUGGGCUUAGGUGUGUGAGGUACUACUAUUAUAGGGGGUUUUAGUCGGUGUUGAUGGUUUUUUAGAGGGUGGUGUGAGUAGCGGGCAAUAGGUGUUCGGAAUUUGUAUAUGUAGUCAUCCACAAUGGAGAUGUUGGCAUUGGUUUUUGUGGUAAUGAUUUAUUGGUUUAUGUGGCAGUCAUCGGUUGAAUGGUGUCUUAAUUGAUGUUUUGAUGUAUGAGUUGUAUGGGCUUUUGUUUGGGUGUUCCUUCUAUAUAUGAUGCUCUUUGCUUUGUUGUUUUUCUCUUGCUAGUCUGGACUCAUCUUGCGCAGAGACUUGAUUAUUAAUAAAUUUUGUUGUUAAAAAAAAUUAUAUUCAAUCUACCUCUAGAUUAAAAAAGAUAAAAAAAAAAUAGGAAAAUGCUAAAAAAAAUAUAUUGUGGCACUUGUUAAGGAAGCUAAAUAAAAUACUUCCUCCGGUCGUUUUUAUAAGAAACAAAAAUGUCAAUAUUUUUGAUCAUUUUUAUAUAAAAUAUAUAAAAAAAUGACUAAUUUUCAAAUAUAUUAGAAUAUAAAUUUCAUUCAUGCCCUCAUUUAUUAUGUGAGAGAUUAUUAUUUUUUUAACAAAGAGGGCUAAAACCCAAAAGAAAAGGAAAAAAACUACAAAACCACACUAACACGCAUAGGCAUGCAAGCUUAAGAUAAGUCGUUAAAGAGGAGAUUCUGAAGCUCUCUAGAUGAAACCUCAAGAAUUAUUACAUUAUACGAACUAUGGUUGAGACUAAAACUAGCUAGCUAAUCAACGUAUAUGUUUCCUUCACUUCAGGCGUGCUUAAAAAUAACAUGUCACUGUAACUUUGAGAGGUCUUGGAUAUGACAAACCAAAAUAAGGGUUUUGCCAUUAAGCUUACAACUCCCUGUUACCAUAUCAAUCAAAACCUUAGAGUCACUUUCGACUAUAAGAUUUGUAUAUUUUGUCUUCUCGCCGUUUGCAUCCUGUAUACAUUCCCCACAUUUCAGUUUGAAGGACGUCACAAGCUCCAAUCCUUUGUGUAUGCCCUCGUAGCCAUUGGAUACCUGAGUCCCGUUAAAGACCUCCACAUCCUGCAAUGUUCAUUGAACCCUUGUAAGCUCGGUCGUAGUUGAACUUGAUCCAUUCCUAUAUGAAUGCUUCCAACCACCGUAAAUGAUUAAAUUAGUAGAAUUAAGAGUAACUAAUAUAUGGAUAUAUGAGUAUCCAUAAAAUAUAUUUAAAUUUAUAGAAGUAUUAAACGAAAAUAACUAUUUUUAAUGUGUUUUCUUGAUCUUAAUUAUUAUGUCAUUUGUUUCUUGUAAAAACGAUAUGACGAAGUAAUAAAAUAAGGGAAAUGUUAACCAGUGCCUCCGGGGCACUGAUUAAGGGGUCAAAUAUAAUAGCAUUUGCAUUGAGAGGUGUGUAAUUAGUGCAUUAAAAGUUGAAAAAAGUGUUUUUUUUUAUUUUAAAAUUUCCUCUUUUGACUUCCUUAACAAGUGCUCUGGAGGCACUGGAUAAUAUGACCCAUAAAAUAACAAUAUGUCUCGUUAACAACAACAAAAAGAUGGGCUGCCUCUUCUUAAAAAAAUUAUUUGCCCCAAAAACAUCUUCAUAAAUACAUGACGAUAGUGUUUUGAGUUUUGACUAUCAAAAACGUGUAUUUUUAAACUAAAAAUAAAUUGUUUGGACAACAAUAUAACCCAAGGGCAUCUUUUUUUUUUUUUUGUUACAUAACCUAAGGGCUGCUGAAAACGACUCUUUAUUUGUUGAUUCUAUAGUCAACUGUUGGGAGUUCGUAAAGCUAAUUUUAAUAGUUUUUUCCUCCAUAAUGUGGGAUCUCUAUAAUAGAGUUCAGAUAGAAUUUUAAGUUUUUUAAUUUCAUAAUGAGAAUUAUUAUCGUAUAAAAUGAUGUUCAUCGUUAUUUAUAUGAAUUUCUUCUGUUGAUCAGGUUUAGUUCGAAUAUACUUGUAAAAAAAUGGUUUAGUUUGAAAUUUUUGAAUAUAGAAUGCGUGAUUUCAUACAUAUGAUGUAACCUACUUCGUUAGUUUAAUUGAUUAUUGUCCGGUGUAUUCAGGGGCGGUUCAUUUCAUUUAUAUAUGAACAAAUGCAACAGACACCCCAAAAGUAAAAUAAAAGUAUAUUUAUUAUUUAGAGUACAUAAACUAAUCAGCCGUACUUUUAUAUAGUAUUUUGUUGUAUAAAUAUUUUUUAUUACACUAUAUUAUAAAAUAUUAACUUUAAUUUAAUUCAUUUUAUUUAUUUUUUAAUUUAAAAUUUAAAAUGACUAGAUUAUUAAGAGCAAAUUUAUAGUAAAAAAUGUUCAACCAGAUAGUUAAUUUUCAAAUCUCUUAAUCAAAAUUUAGGUUUUGAUAUAAGUUGAAAUUUUAAGAAUAACUAAGUUAUAAAGGUAAUUUGGUUCAGAAAAAAGUUCGAUAGAAAAAUAGCUUUUUUUUUUUUUAAGGAUUCGAUAGAAAAAUAGUUAAUGUAGUUAUUUUUAUACAAUUGUAUAAAUAAUAUAAUAUCAUUAUCCAUAUAAUAAUAGUUAACUCAAUGCUUCUAAUUCCUUAAACAAAAAACUCAAUGCUCAUCAAUCGUAGGUCCCCUGAUUUAACAUUUCAGAAUUUAUAUUGGUGAUCGUGUGUCCUUAAUACGCAUAUGAUGAGAGAAUAAUAUUUUACGUUAUGUCAAAAAAUUAUAUCUGAAAUAUAAAAAUAAUUAACAAUAAAAAAUACAUUAGGAUUGAACCAUACAUAUAAAAAAUUAAUACAUUUUAAUAUAUUCAUCAAAUUGUUUUUAAUGAUAGUUUAUACAUAUAAACGUAACAGUUUUUUAAGGAGUUUUUACUUUGUUUAGCAACAAUUUUGACUAUAGAGUGUGUUUUUUUUUUUUUUUUUUUUUUUUUAAUAAUGUUCAAUGGAGAACUUGGAUUUAAAACACUUCCCGUGUUGAUUCAAAUCUAGGGUGUGUUUGUCUUCGUGAGUUUACCUCAGUUGGUAGGGACAAUACAUAAUAAUAUAUGCAAGGUCCGGGGUUCAAACCCCGGUCACUACAAAAAAUAAUCUAGGGUAUAUUUAAAUACAAGAUUUUAUAGGGAAAAGUUUUUUUUUUUUUUUUUUUAAAAUUACAGGCGCUAUAAAGUAUUUUUAAAAAUGGAUUAAUGUGGUUCGAGUAUUGUGAUCAUUUCUCAUAUUAUCAUUUCAAUUUUUAAAAAUAUAAACCUAGCUUUUUAAAAUUCUACCCUCCAAGGACUUCAUUCCAAACCAACCCUUAGGGGUGUUUGGUAGUCAGGAUAAGGAGGUAGGAUAGGAUAACCAUAUCAUAUUCUAUUCAAAUCUUCCGUUUAACGUACCAAAUAGAUAUGAUAAAUUAAACCUUUGAUUCAUCUUAUCCGUCAAACCUUUAUAUUUUCUAUCCUAAGUAUAGACUGUGUUAGAAAUAUCAUAUCCCCUUUUCUUAUUUUUUGCCCAUACUUUACCUGAAACAAAUCGGAAUCUAUCUUUUCUCCUAUCUUCCACGUUCGCCUACCUCCCUCCCUCCAUCUCCAUCUUCAUCUUCAUCUUCAUCGCUCAUCAUCUUCUUCCUUUUCGUUUAAAAAUUGUGAUUUUUUUUCCAUGAAUAUUUGAUUUAUUAGGUUGAAUUUUUUCCCUUAUUUCAUAUCGAAAGAGAGACGGUUAAAAAAACAUUCAUCAACAUUUCCAUCGUAGGUUGAUUGAAAUUGUUGCGCCUAAUAACUGCUUCUUUCUCUUCUUCACGUUUAAUUGGAAAUUACUUUCUAAUUUAUCCACCAAUAUAAUGAAAUAAAUCAAUCAUACCAACCCAAAAUAAAAUAUUCUCCACCGAUUGAAUAUUGGAGUAGUUAUUAUCCAUCCUUAAUUUUUCUUUCUCAAUUUUCUUGGUGAUAAUUUUGCAGAUACUUGUUUUCAAUAAAAUGAAAAUUUAUAAUUCCAUUGAUUUCUUUUAACAUAAUUACUUUGGGGAAGAACAACUAUUGAGAAAGGUGAUAUUUCUUAGGUUAUUUUAUUAAGAUCUGUUUUUCGAAGAAGAUGAUAACAAGAAUAAUUUUGUCAUAUUAUUAUGAUUUAUAUCCUAUCAGGUCAUUAUCAAGUUGUGCAUCAAACAUAUGAUAUAAUAAAUUUUUAUUUUAUCUUGACCAUCAAACAGACCCUUAGUGUCAAAUGUCUCGCUAUCGGUAAGUUGUAAAAUAAAAUCAUUGUGUUAUAUUUUUAAUGUACCACUGAAUUAGUUAAUGAUAUAAGUCAUCAGCAUGUAAUAUGUUAUUUAUAUUAUAAACUUUAAUCGUUAAAAGUUCCUUUAUAUAUUGAAUCAUGUCUACCUUAUUUGUGAAAAAAAAAAGUCUUCAUUAUGCAUGCAUGCUACCAUGAUAACUACAUGUAAUUGAUUGAGUAAUACAAAUAAAGAGCCACUUGGAAGUGAAAGUAACAAUUUUUGAGUUAAAUUAGCCCACUUGUUCUUUGGGAGAGAGUGCCAAACUUCUUUCAGUUAUUUCUAUUGGUUUUGGUAAAGUUGAUUUCUUUGUUUUUUAAUCUUUCACAUUAUUCUAUUCUAUAGUGCAAUGAUAAAAUGACAGAUUUUUAGUAGGGUCAUACAUAAGAUUCUGAUUCUAAGUAUUGGUCUAAUUAGGUUCUUGUUGUUUAAUCUUUUACAUUAAUUAGUUACAUUUAUUUUUGUUUAAUUAAUUAGUUGCCACCGUGUUGGCGACUUUGGUUAUUUUUUAGAUUUAUUAGAAUUGAUUUCGAUUAUAGUACAUUCAUAAUUUAGAUUCUUAUUUCAUUUGAUGUGUCAUUUUCGUGGUUAUGUUUGUGUGACUUUCUUAUUUCAAAAGUUUUUAUUUGAAUCAAAUAGUCUCCUAUUUUACUUUAUUUAAUUGCAACAUUAGCUUUUGAGGUAAAUGGUGUCACACACCCACACUUUUAGAACCCUAACACACUAGAAUUCGUAUAGAUUUACCAAAGAUAUGGAUCAACAUUAGUGAAUACCCCGAAUUCAUGAUAACCAUGAUGGGGCUCUUUAUACUAUUAUGGAAAAUACUCCAUGCAUUUUUCUUGUGACUAACAAGAUUGAAUAAUGGGAAGAAUAAAUGUUUAUUUUUCGACAAAUAUAGUGUAAAGAAAAAAACUAUGUAUCUCCAACAUCAUUAAAAUUCAAGAUUGAAUAAUCUAGAUUUGUACUUUAAUUUAUCAAAUAAAAAUCUGCAUUUUUAUAGAUUGUUUGAUCAAAGACCGGAAUGUCUACUAAUAUUAUUGAAAAUAUAAUAUUAUAGGUGGGUCCUAGUACCCAGUCAUCUAAGUUUCAGCUCAAAAUCAAUUUAGAGUUUGGUUGUAGAGCUUAUAUAUCUAUUUUCUCUACUUUUGAAUUGGUAAUGUUGUAAGAGUAUUUCCAUGAGAAAUGAAUGCUUAUACCCGUGCAAAUAUCCAUGCAAUUCCAAAGGUUGUGUGUGUAUGUGUUGUAAUCGCAUGUUCUUGAAUUAUCUAGUUUUAGUUUUGCACUCCUUGAACGAGGGUUCCCAUAAUAUAUUUUUAUCCUUGUUGUCGAUGGUAAGGGUGCGACUACCUGUCAAGGAGUGUCGGUGAGGGAUGAUGAUGUACUCUUAACAUCGUCGGAUGUAGAAUGGAGAACAAUGUUAUUGGGAUAAAGUUGUUGUUGUUUGGCCAUUUGAAGUGUUUUGAAUUUUAAGGAGGUUUUGAUCUUUAGUGGAAAUUAAGUUUAAUGGGAAACUAGUUCCCACAUACGGAGGAACUAAUUCGAGGUCAUAAGAAGUGAUGGUUGACGUCGAACAACGAUCUAUCAAGGUUGAAGAUUGAGGGUGGGGAUACUUGCAAGCACUCUGAAGUCCAAGUCCUUGGAAGCAAAGAGUGAGAUGUAUUUAAAGGAUAGUAAUUGUGUAUCUUGUGUUGGUUGUAGAUGAUGUCUUUUAUAGACGUUAGCAAUGAUACUUUGCGAAGAUAUCAGAGUCCAUUACGGUCGACGCUUCAUCAAUAUGGAAUUUUUGCCAUCGUUAUUAGUCGUUGAAGUGUUACAAAAUGAGGAAAUCUGAAACUACCCAUUGAUGUGUUUAUGGGAUAGAAAGGAUUUAACCCUAUUGAGUUGGACACUAACGUGUUUGGGCUUGUGCGAUCAGUUUUGUAUACUGAGGAUUCUUGGUUUGAAAUCUCUAAUAUCAUUAAAAUUCAAGAUUUUAUUAUAAAAUAAAUUUGUUUAACUUUUUUUGUUGACGUUAAUUCAAAAUUACACUAGGUGGUGAAUCAAAAUAAGUCAAUAACUCAUGUUAGAUUACGAUGUAUAAUAUUUAAUAGGCCAAAUACUAUGUUUGGUCCUUUUAGUUUGACAUAAUUCUCAAGUUAGUCCUUUAAAUUUUGAAAGUUUCAAUUAAGUCAUUUUAAUUUGACAGAAUUCUCAGAUUAGUCUUUUAAGUUUCAAAAGUUUCAAAUAAAUCAUUUUAGUUGAUAAACUAUUUCACCAUAACCCAUACAUUAAUAAUUAACUGAUGAUGGUGUAGCCGUUAACUUGUUGACUUGAUCAAAACAUCAUCUUUUAAAAGUUUCGGGUCUCAAAACGCCACGUUGAUAAUGAUUUUGAUUCUUUGACAUAGAAAAAACUCCACACAUACAUGGAAAUGAAGUGGCUUUAGUGAGACCAUGUGUCAAAAUUAACAAGGGCUUUAGUGCCACAUACAUGAAAAUAUGGUACCAGUGAAGACAAUUUUGGGAAGAAAAAGAGAUGUUAUUGUUGGAGAGAAGUUGUUGAGUGAAACCCUUGGAGUGCAACACAAGACACAGACAAAAAGAGCAUAAUUUUGAUAGAAAAAGAGAGGCACUUGAAUAUCCAUGACGUCACUACAUUCUUAGUACUGUUUCAGUGUCUUUGGUUUCUCUGUACCUGAAAUCCUUUUGUUGUGUUUCUUGUUCCCUACAGUUUAAGGCCCAUACGCACGAAACAAAACUUGCUACACGCGCCUUUAAUGGGCCAUUUUUCCCUUUUAGUGGUACCAUUAAUUAGUGUUUAAGGCUGAUCUAGGUCCAUUCUAGUGAAUUCCAAAAUGAUGGGUGUCUCAUGACAUAUUGUGAAACUUUUGAUGCAAUUCGGAGUGAAAUAUUUCAAUUUAAUGUUGCACUAUUAUGUGCAUGUUUAACUUAGGGGAGUUUGACAAGAUCACAGUACAUUUAUAAAAGUGUCGAGGUAUGAAGCAUGGAUGUAGACACGGAUACCAAACAUAAUACAUAUAUUGAUACAUUGAAAUCGAUAAUAAUUUAAAAAAAGAUAUAAUUCAGUGUAAACAUAGGUGUUGGUAGUGUCCGACACCUCAACACACCUAAUAUGAAGAGUGUUAGAAUAUUGGUGUUAAGUUUGAAUAUUAAACAUCAAGUAAUUAUACUUUGAUCUAAUGUUGUGUGAAUUGAAAAAAUAAAGUGUGGGAGUCCCGCAUAAAAUAGAACACACACAUAUUAGUAGUGUUUAAAUUGAGAUAUUUAAUUGGGUUAAAGUGUGCGGGCCACACACAUAUUUAAUUGAAAAAAAUAAAGUGUGGGGGUCCCACAUAAAAUAUAUAUUUCAAAAUUUUAAAAAAAAUUUGGAAAAUAUUUUUCGUAAUAAAAAAAAUCCCAAAUUUUUUUUAUUUUAACAAAUUUUAAAAAAAUGAAAAACAAAAUUAAUUAUACAGUCAACACACCACAUAAUCAGAUAUGCACAGUCAGCAUACCACGUCAGCAAUUCUGCACAGUCACAUGGGUCAGGGGCUAAAAUCAAAGAAUCUUAUUUUACAGGGUUGUAAUCUAAACUUUUUUUUUUUUUCAACGGAGUAAACCGAAACUCGCCCAAAUUACAGAGGGUAAAGACGCAUUAACCCCAUUUAAUUUUAAAAACUUGAUAAUGAUAAAAAUAAUAAUUAUUAUUAUUUUUAUCCAUGAAUAUCAUUUUCCAUAAAUUUAGUUUAUGAUGAUUAUGAUAAGAAUAAGAAUUUAAUUGAAUUUCUUAUAUUUUUUUUUCUAAUGGGUCAAACCUGUGUAUGAUUUGAUUAAAAUUAAUGUGAUAUCUGAUUGUGGUUAGGAACCAAGUUGAAUUGUGUUUUUUAUUUAUCUACUAUUGGAUGAGUUCUCCAUAGUAUCACAUUGAGCUCUCCUGCUACAGAGAUACUGUACCAAUUUAUUGGAAGCCGCAAUCACAUCUCUGGCAAAAGGUUAACAUAGAUGGGUUUUUGUUUGGGGAGCAAGCCUCUUGUGGAAGAAUUUUCCUAGAUGGUAGAGAUACUUUUUCGGGUAGCUUUUGUGUUAAUUUUUUUUUUGAAACAGCAAAUAUUAUAUGUUAAAAAAAUUUCUUAGAUCUAUAAGACCAGUCUACUUAUGAAUUGAAAAAUAUUAUUUAUCGCUAAUAUUAUUAUAUUAUAUUUUAUACUUUGAAUUAAAUUAAAAAUUUGUUUAAGAAUUGUGGCUGGAUGUGAUUUCUUCUUCUCUUCUGCUUGGGGAUGAUGAAGUGAUUUCACGGCCAGAACAAUUCUUCUAUUAGCAACAACAUAAAUCAGCAACAAUCAUCAAUCAUCAUUUAAAUUCAUAAAAAUCAAUUAAAUCCGUUAAUUAACAACAAACAAUAAUUGAUUCUUCAACAACAACAACAACAUGAAUCACCACAAACAAACCCAUAAUCCACCAUAAAUAAUUCACGCCUCUUUCUAUUUGUAUUGAUCCCAACUUACAGUGUGUACAUAGUCAAACAAAAUAAACUAUGACAAACAAUUAACAUUCAAAAAAAAGAAUUAUGAAAAGAUUUCUCCAAAGAAAAAAAUUCACCUUUUAUAAAUUACACAACUUUACAUACCUUGUGAAUUGAAAGACGGAAUCGAGGAAGAGGUUUUCGCAUUUUACAGUUUUCGUAUCAAAGUUUGACCUUCGUGAGUUUAUCGUUUAAGUUUGGAUUGGUGGGUGUUAUGGUAACUGAUUCAAUUCCUAAUGCAAAGAGUGAGAGUUCUAUGUUAAAAUUGAAAGUUUUUAAGCUUUUGCGAAUGUUGAAGAUGAAGAUGAAAGAGGCUUAAAGUUUGAUUGUAAGAAAAACCCAUAAACUAAAAUGUUGCAUGUUGCAGAAGAUGUGGUAAAGAGCUUAUUGUAUUAGUUCAUAUGAGUUAAUGGGUUAAAGGUUGUGGUGUUAGAUAUUAUUUUCUGGGCUGUGGUGGUGGUAUGAAGUUCAUAGGAUGAAGAAGAAAUAAAAGAUGGAAGAUGAAAGGGGCAUAAUAUUAGGUGUUAGUGAUACACCGUUAGAUCUGAUGGACCUCCUUUAUCCAACAGUCUUCUUUUUGAGAGGUUUAAAAUUAAUAAAAUAUGAUUAAAUUGAUGAUAAAAACAAAGAUAAAUGACCAAAUUGAAACGUUUAAUAGUUAGGGGACCAAACAAUGUAUUAAGGUACUGUUUGACCCGGUUUUUUUUUUCAACUUUUCUACAUUUUUAAGGAGAAGCUAGGCCAAACACAAUAUCAAUAAAGUACCUUCGAAAAAAAAUACUUUUUUUAGAAUGCAUAAAAUUGAAAAGAAUGAGCUUUAACCAAAAGUUGUUGAAUGCUACUUCAAAAAACUACUUCUCUGUAAUUUAUUUCACAAGCACUUCUCUUCAACUCACGCAAGCAACCUUAUCUUUUAUUUUUAAAUAUUAUAUUUCAAUUUGUUUUUUUAUUCCAUUUAAUUUUUUUUUGAACCGGUCCAUAUAACUUUUUUUAAAGGAGGAUCAAUUUAAUUUUAUUAUCUUUUUAUCACUUGUAUAUUUAAUUUUAAUAUCGUUUAAUUAUCACAACCUCACAAAUAUUUUUAUUCAUGCUGUCAUUGAAUGACACCAAAUAUUUUUAUUCCAUUUCUUCAACCUCACAAAUAUACACACACACACAUUAGCGUUUAAAGUAAUAUUUUAUGUCUGUAUGUCUGUUGUUUUUGUUACGCUAAUGCGUAUAAUUUUUUCAGUGUUGCAUAAUGCGUACAAUUAUUAUUUUUAUAAAAUUUUGAUUUUAAUUAAAAGUACUAGUAUAGAUGCCUAAAAAAAUUAUACUUAUAUAUAUUUUACACAUUUAUAUUGUAACAAACUAUGCAUAUCUUUUUCUUAUUAAAAAAACUAAAAAUAUAUUUUUCAAUGACACCAACAAUGUAACAAAUAUAAUAUCAUAUAAUAUAAAUUUUAUCUUUUUAAAUGACAUCAUAAAUAUGAUAUUCUUAUAACAAAAUUUGUUAUACAGUAUAAUUGGAAAAGAAAAAUCAAACUAUUCUCUAGCUUAGCUCAGUUGAUAUAGACAAUGUAUAAAUAUAUGCAAGGUCGCGGGUUUGAACCCUGACACCACAAAAAAAAAAAAUCAUAGUUUUGUACAAUAUUUUGCCAAACAACUUUUAACUUAAAAUAACUUUAGAACUAAAAAAAAUAAAGAAACCAAACGGCUUUAACUUUUUCCUUAAAUAACUUUAUUUUAACUUUGUUUUAAAGUAGCUUUUAGACAAAAAAAAUAAUCUAGCGAAACGGUACCUAAAUCAAAAAUAAACUUAUAAUUGAUCAUUGACCAGACUCAUGCCUUAAAUUUUUUAAGUUAGGGCUUUACAAAACUUAACUCCACCUAACAUAUUCACAAUCCUUAUCCGAAAAUGAAAAUAUAUAGAAAACAACAAAAUAUGUUUGUAUACCCUUAAAAAAAGUAUAUAUAAGCAGAAUAUUAGAGUUGAAUAACAAGUAAUCCUUGAAUGUUAUAUUCUUUAAUUAGAUUUCUUCUUAUUUUUUAAAUCUAUGACUAAAUGAAAUUUAAAAAUCACUAUGAAAUGAUAUCGUUUACUUAAAGAAAUUUCCUGCCAUUUGUUAGCAAUUUGGUUUUGAAUUCAUCUACAACAAGUAGACUUUUUAAUUUCGAACACGGUUUAUUCUUCAAAAAAAAAAAAAAUGGAACACGGUUUAUUUAUGGAUAACAGCUCGAAAGGUCUAUUUUCAUAUACACUCAUAUGAAAAUGAGUAUAAAUCCUCAAAUUAAAAUACACUUCAAUUCAAUCACAAGGAUAGGAUCAUGGGAAAGACUUCCUCUAAGAGUAUCGCUACUCCAUCCGUUUUAAAAUGAGUAUCGCUUUAGCCAAUUGCAUACAGAUUAAAGAAUUGAAUAAAGUAGUUAAAUGUCAUAGCAAUUUUACCAAAUUAUCCUAAUCAACUAUUGGUUUGUUUUUCAUUAAAAAAAAAUAAUACUUUAGAAGUAAUGUAACAUAAUAUUAAUUGAAAACUACAAUUGAAUUCUUUCUAAUACCGAUCUCGACAAGUUAGUUAGUUUCCGAUACCAACAAUGUGUGCAUCAUUUUUUCUUAACUUUAUUAUAGAGCAAUACAAAGAUUUUGCCUCUCAUACGUUCAAUGUGAAAUGAUGUGCUCCAAGGGAAUAUGCUUCUAUCAUUUUUCUUAUGGAAAACAUGACAAAUAAUUUAAUAUAAGAUCUUAUGUCAAACAUCAUAAUCAGCUACAAGUGGCUAACAUAGAAUGAGCAAUCCAAAUACUAAUUUAUUAAGCACACCUUACUUAAAAAACAACAUCUAAACCAACGAAUAGAGUCCAGGUAAUAUUAUUAAAAUAAAAAAGGAAACCAAACUAUGAAGAAAUCUGAGUCACUGAUUUGUUUAAGAUAUAAUAUAAAAUAAUAAAAAGUAAACGCAGCCAAUCCAAUCCAAACCAACCAUAUUAAUAUUCCAAUGUUGAUCUACAUGCUCAAAACCCAUCAAACAAAACCAGCAAAGCAUCAAAAUAGUUAAAAAAUCAUUUUUGUGUGCUAUCAAAUAAGGUGUUCCAGAUAUUAAAACAUCCUCAAUCCAAUGUGACAUAUUUUUGUAAGGUUAACGUGUGCUUUAGAGGAUCCACAAUGGAGACUUCUAUUUUUAGAUAUCUAAAUAGGUCCAACGCGUACACAUCAUCAAUUUAUAGUUUUAUAAUAGUAGUAGCUAAUAAGCACUUAAUCCCUCCAACCUAGAUCUCACACAAAGUUCUUAAAUGAGACCCAUUAAUCAACUAUCAAUAACUUUAUAUCACUACAUUUUAAUUUUUUAAUAUUAAAAGAGUGCAGGUCCCGCAUAAAAUUGGGGGUCUUAGGUAAGACUCAUGAUCUUAUAAAACCCUGAAAACGAUUCUCCCUAAUGGGAGAUGGUCUUAGGGCACCAGUUAAAGUUUCUACAAAGAACAAGUAUUUAUUGAGAAAUAUUAAAUUUCAAUAUUGUGAAAAAUAAAUUGACACAAUUUACGAUUCAUAAUUUAUAUCUUUGGAACUUUAAAUUGUGCUCUUAAAACACAUGUUAGCAUUUCACUUUAUAAAAUAUGAUCGCAAAGACCGUGACAACAUCCAAACUUUUAUACCUAAGACACACGGUGUUGUGAUUUGAGGUCGAAACACAUGAUAAUUUUAAAUUAGGGUUCGUAUGAUAUGUUACAAAACUUCUUUUUUUUUUUUUAAUAAGAUAUGUUAUAAAACUUAAUAUUGAAAGUAAAAUGCGGAUAGAUACGACCGUAGUUACUAUUGCGAUGUCAUUAAAAAGACCUCUAAAUUUUUUAUAUUGCAACAACAAUUUCUAUUAAUUAAGAACGUUGAUUUAAAAAACUAGAGAAUUUAUCUACCAAAAAAAAAACUAUAGAAGAUUUAAUUAAGAUAAAUGUUGGUUAGUACGUAUCUAUCAUGGUGACAGUGUGAGUUUGCGUUGAAAAUUCCCUGGCUUAGCGUGAAGAUAUGGACUCUAAUCCAAAACAUCAUCAUCCCUUAAACCCCACCACCAACUUGUUUAUAAACCCAUUAAAUUACUCAUUCUCCUCUCACAUUCAACUCAUACCAACUAUUCAAACCUAAAAACCUUUCAUCUUUUCUCUAUUCUCUCUCUCACAAAAAAAAAAAAUGGAGGGUCUUAUACCUUUAGUUUACAAGACAAUAAUGCAAUACAAAGGUGGUAAAGAAGGUGCUAUAGGAUCAUGGAUUUGUGAAUCACCUUCAUAUUCAUACAUGAGACUUCCGGCUGGUGAUUCGGGUCGGUUUCAAAUUCAAACCACUUCAUCUUCCAACCAUGUUUCUUCUUCUACUUCAAGUGCACAAAUCAUUGUUUCUUCUGGUGUUCAAUCUCCACAUAAUUGUCUCACACAUCGUCGAAUCGCAGCAUGAAGAAAAACUCGAAAUGGAUCAUUGUUAUAGUCAAGUUUUUAUGUUUUAUGCUUUCAAAUAAUGGGAAGCUUUUGGUUUUAUAUUUGGUCUUUGAAGUUGUGAGCGUGUGAAAAAUGGAAAAGUUCAUCAUGCGCUUGGUUAGUUUGUAAAUUAAUAAUUGUAAUUAUGUGUUAAGAAAUUGUUGAAUAUAUUGUUCUUUAUGGCCAAAAGGGUCACUUGAAGUAUGAGUUUCUAGGCAAAUUGAUAAACAAAAUGUAUGUAAGUACACUUCUUUGGCCUAAUGGGUCCUAAAGACUAUGGGUUUGUUGAAGAAUAAUUCGUAUAGUCUACAAUUGUGAAUUUUUAUCUGUGUUACGAUAUUUUUUUUUAUUAUUAUUAAUCGAUGUUGGGUCAAAAGUUAAGUAAAAUUUGAAAUAUGAUUAUUUUAAUUAAAAUUUGAACUCAGGUUACUUCAAAUUAUUCGUCAAUGGGUAGGUGAAUUUUGGUUUUAGUCUAUCAUACUUAUUGCUCCAAAAACAAUGAAACAAUUUUUUGCUUCUACCUUCAUGUAUUAUCCACUAAUAUUCUGAUCAUGGGGCCAUUUUAAGGGGUAAUUUUAUUUAUUUUUUUUGCAGAAAGUGAUAGUUAAUAAGUGUCAAAUUAGUAUGUGAAAACUUUUCCUAGUUAAAUUAUAUUCAUCUAUCCUAAAAUGAUAAUCUUACAGUUUAAAAUAAAUGAUUGUAGUUGUUGAAUGAUUUUCUUUUACUUGAACUGAAGUUAAAAUCCACUCAUUUUGUAAGGAGCUAAAAUGGUUAUUUCAAACUUUGAAUGGAUUAAAAUUAAAAACAUAUCUCUUUAAAUUGCUUAUUAUACACGACUACGUACAUACCAUAUUAAAUAUUGUAGAUACUCAAAAUUUAAUGCUGAGAAUUCUUGUCGGAGGUUGUAAUGAAUAAACUUUUUGAUUUUAUGUUUUUUGGGUCAAGUAUGUUUGUGGUUAGGUUCACGCAUUUUGUCAUCCUAAACUUAACUCAGUUGGUAAAAACAAUGCAUAAUAUAUCAACAAUAUAAGGUUUGGAAUUCAAACCAUGUGCACCACAAAAACAAAAACAAAAAUAUUCACGCAUUUUAAAUAUUGAGAUGUGAGAAAUUCGAUGUUCAAAUUUUAACCCCUAUAAACGGUGUUUUUUUUUUUUUUGACAAAACCCCUAUAAACAGUGUUGAUAGUUACCAACUGAACUAUAUUACAUCAUUUUAAAAAGAAAGUGACCUAUAUUACACGACUAUAAAUUGAUUUUUGUAAUUUACGGAAAUAUAUAUAGAUUAUAUAGCAAGUUAAUAUUUCUCAUGCAAGUUAAUAUUAUUUUUAUACAAUAUAGCCUUCGUUCUAUUCAUUAAAAUAGUGGUAACUAGUCGUAUUACGUAUGGUGGGCGGUGGCUGGCUUCCCAAAGGGAGAUGUACACUUCACCUAACAAUGCAUAAGAAUUUAUAUUUUUGUGUUUUCAUAAUAUGUUAUUUGCUUUUUUAGUCUUUCACGUGGUGGAAAUAUGUACGGUGUCGUGGUCAAUUAUAUUCGUUUUUUUUGCUAGUCUUUGUUGUCGCCAUUCAUGAUAACCCCUUCCAAUUCAUUUGUGUUUCUAUUUUAUCCUUUUUGUCUCAUUGUGUGACCGAUUUCUCAAUUGUUGUUUAUAAUCCCAAUUUUCCAUAUCACCAUAUUUUCAUUGUGUCGUUUCAAUCAUGGUGUCGUUUCAAUCAAUGGUAGAUAGGGUUAUUGGUUCUAAUGUAUCGGCAGGCCAGGUUCAUGGGUAUUAUAGGAUGGAAUUGUUUGGGUUUAGGCAGCCUGAACGUGAUUCCUGAUUUAAAAUAUCUAGUACGACGUUUCAAUUCAAACCUUCUAUUCUUAAGUGAGAUGCUAGUACACCGAAAUAAAAUUGAAACUUUUUCGUUAUGUUCUUGGCUUUGAUUCUUGCAUUUCUGUAGACCACACUAGUAGAAGUGGGGGUCUUGCUCUUUUUUUGGCGUUCUUCUUUAAAUUGCAAUUUGGUGAAUUAUUCUAAUAACCACAUUACCGUUGAAAUUGUUGACUCUACUCUUGGUUCUUGGAGGCUUAUCGGCUACUAUGGGUACCCCAAUGGGGAACAUAGGCAAGUUGUGUAGGAUUUCCUCUGUAACUUGUCUGAACAAUAUGCAGGUCCUUGGUGUAUUUUCGGAGACUUCAAUGAUAUAAUGGAUAAUAAUGAAAAAAGAGGACGUGCUACAAGACCGCAAUGGUUAAUAAACGACUUUCGUCAAAGCUGUUCUUGACUCUGGUCUAUCAGAUGUUACAAUGGAAGGUUAUCCGCUCACCUGAUUUAAAAGCGGACACCUCGUGCGGUUGAGGAAAGGUUAGAUCGAGCCCUUGCUAUUAAUGCUUGGUUUAAUUUAUUUCCGAAUGCACUGUUAGAAAAUCUUGCAGCUCCGGUUUCUGACCAUUACCCUGUUCUCUUGCACCGUGUCUCGCCCUCCUGCUCCUCCUCGCAAAUUCAGAUACGAAAAUGCGUGACAGCUGGAGACGAGUUUUAAGGAAAUAGUAAUUGAUUCUUGGAAUGUGCAUCUAACUGAUUCUAUUGUUUCUAAGUUGUCUGCUUGUGCAGAUGAUAUUUUGGUGUGGACCAACACCCAUUGCCGCAAGUUGAAAUCUGAGAUUGAGGAUUGUCAUCGUCAGUUGCAGCUUCUUCGUGGUAAUAAUGCAGGUUCGAUGCAAUCUGAAUUGCUAGAAAUGCGCAAGAAAAUUCAAAGGCUACUCACUCAAGAUGAUGCUUAUUGGAAACAUAGAGCACAAACACAUUGGUACAAAUACGGUGAUAGAAACACAAAAUUCUUUCAUGCUUAUGCAACUGCUAGAAAAAAAGGUAGAUCAAAUUCUAUCUCUUGAUGAUAAUCAUGGUAAUAAAAUCACUGAUUUUCAAGGUAUGUAAGAAGUCGCUAGAAAUUAUUUUGUUGAGCUUUUUUAGAAGCCAUGUAAUGUCACCCACCCCAUCAUUGAUGUUGUUCCUCUAUGUAUAUCCGCACAUGACAAUGAUCUUCUCACGACGUCUUUCACAAAGUGUGAAUUUCGUGAUGCAAUGUUCUCCAUGCACCCUGAUAAAUGCCCCGGCCCUGAUGGUUAUAAUCCUGACUUUUACCAACAUUUCCGAAUUUAUGUAGUGAUGAUAUUUUUAAAGAAUGUUGUGCUUGGCUUGAUAUAGACCAUUUUCCUCCAAAUUUAAAUAUGACAAAUAUUGCUCUCAUUCUUAAAGGCAACAUGCAAACUUGUAUGAAGGAUUAACGUCCGAUUGUGCAUGAAGGAUUAACGUCCGAUUGUGCUCUGCAAUGUUCUUUAUAAGUUAACUAGCGAAAAGACGGGCCCUCACGUGUCCGUCUUUCUGCUAUUUCGAUUGCGCAAACGUUUGAAAAUUAUGAAUGAUGUUUUUUUUUAUGAGAUUUUAAUUUUGAUUAAAAGUAAAAAUAUAAAUGUUUUUUACUUUCAAAUUAUAACAAAUCGAACUAACUAUGUUUAUCUAUUUCAAUGAAAUAAACAAUAUAACCAAAAAAUAUAUAAUCUAAAUUUUUUUAUUUUUUUUAACGACACUAACAACAAUCUUUAUUAUAAAAAAAAGUUGUUGUUUAAGGGUAUAAUUGGGAUAAGGGUUAAUAGGUCUUUACCCUCCUGUAAUAUAGGUUACUUUUGGUUUUUCCCCUGUAAAUUUUUUUUGUUAGAUUUUGUCCUUGUAAUUUUUUGUUUUGUUUUGGGAUACCCCCCUAGGCCAGCUGACUGUGCAUUUUCGCUGAUUCACCUUUUUCUGCUGACGUGGCAUGCUAACUGUAUAAAAAAAAUUAUUUUUUAUUGUGUACACGUGUCAUUUGUGAUUUUUUUUUAAAUUAAUAAAAAUGAAAAAAUACCAAAAAAAUUUAAAAUUCUGGAAAAAUUAAUAAAAAUGAUUAAAAAGUUUUAAAAUUCGGGAGAAAUUAAUAAAAAAUGAUUAAAAAAAUGAGGUAAAAUGAAAAAAAUUCUAGAAAAAUUAAUUAAAAGAAUCGAAAAAAAAUUUAAAUUUUUUUGGAAAAGAUUAAUAUAUCUAAAAUUUUUUGAAAAAAUUAUAAAAAAAAAAAAUCUAAAUUAAGUUCCUGAAACAUUCUGGAAAAGAUUAAGUUCCCGAAAAAAAUUGAAAUUUUUAUUUUUUGUAUAAAAAACAAACUUUUCCACUUCGUAUAAAAUAUUUGAACUUUUUAUAAAAAAUUUCAAAAUAUUUGAAGUUCCUGAAUUUUUCCUUUUUUUUAUAAAAAAUAACACUUCUUAUAAAAAUUUCAGGAACUUAAACUAUUUUGAAAAUUUUUAAAAUAAUAAGAAAAUAUAUUUUGAAAUUUUUUUAAAAAAAUUCAAAUUUUUCUUUCGAAAAUGAAAAGUUUGUGUUUUUUAUACAAAAAAUAAAAAUUUCAAUUUUUCAAGAACUUAAUUAAGAUUUUUUUUAUAAUUUUUUCGAAAAUUUUGAUACAUAUUAAUCUUUUCCAGUAUUUUUUUCUUUAUUUUUAAUUUUUAUUCAUUUUUUCUAGAAUUUUUUUCUUUUUUUAAAGAUUUUUAAAAAAAAAAAUCACAAAUGCCACAUGUACACAAUAAAAAAAUUAUACAGUCAGCGCGCCACAUUAUCAGAAAAAGGCGACUCAACGUGCCACAUCAGCGAAAAUGCAUAGUCAGCUGGCCUAGGGGGGUAUUCCAAAACAAAAAAAAAUUACAAGGACGGAAUCUGACAAUUUUUUUUUACAGGGGGGUAAAGACCUAUUAACCCUUGGGAUAAUGAAAAUGUAAGUAUAAAUACACUCAUAUAGUUUGUUACACUUUUUAAAUGAUAAAGGAAAAAACUGGACAUUUUUGUUUUUUACACUUGUAUUUUAAUAUUUAAAUUUAUUCUUAUCUAUUUAUUACAUGUGUUAUUCGUAUUGAAAGUUGAGAGUAUUUUUGAAAAGAAAAAGUUAGCCCAAAACUGCUGAAAAAAAUAAUUUUCUUUAUAUAUAGUAUAGAUAUCCAAAGUUCUUGCUAAGAGAUUGAAGUUUGUUCUUCCCCAUUACAUUUUUGACAACCAAUUAGCCUUUGUGCCUCGUUGUUCCAUUCUUGAUAAUGUUAUGGCUGCAAUAGAGGUAAUUCACUUUAUGCAAACCAAAACUCGAGGUAAUGAUCGUUAUGUUGCUUUAAAGCUUGAUAUCAGUAAAGUCUAUGAUAGAAUGGAUUAGGAUUACCUCCGAGAGGUUAUGAACAAAAUGAGUUUCGAUAAUAAGUGGAUUCACAUGAUGAGUAUGUGUGUAGAAUCGGUAGAUUAUUCUAUUCCCAAACGAUUAAAGCCAAACUCUUAGACCUAUAACUCUCUCCCCAAAAAUCUAGCUUGCCAACUCAAAACAACUUAACUUAAACCAAUCCAAAAUGACUUAUUUUCAAAAGUGCUUAAAAAUGGCUUUUAGUUUAAAAACCCGAUUCCUCCCAAACGAUUCCUCACCAAAACUUAUUAACCAAAAACAGAAGUUCACUAUACUCUAAUUCAUCAUAUUCAAUUCAUUCAACUCAUUAAAAAUCAACAAGAACCAUAAUCCAACUCAAUUCAUCAUUUUCACCAAAAUCAUAAAAACUCAACAACACAACAACAACUUAAUUACAACCACACAAUUAGUGAUACUCAAGACAUGAAGUAGCAUCAACAAUUUUGAUUACUUUAUGAUGAAUAACUUUUCGAGUAUUAUGGCAAAAAAAUUUGUUAUGAUUAUUACAAUAUUAAAAAUAUAUGUACAUAUCAUAUUUCUUGAAUCAAAGCACAUUACACUAUAAUGAAUCAAAACACAAUACAUUAUCUUGAAACACAUUACAGUAGUGAGAUUGCACAUUACACAAUACACAUUACAUUAACAUUACAACCAACAAUGUUUGAUCACCUAAUUGCACACUUACAGAAAACUAAACAAACAUCACAUUAGAAGGUUUGUUCACUUUACAUGAAUAAUAAUCAAGCUUAUUGUUGUAAUAUCACAAAUUAAUGCCAACAUCAUGCAAGUUACAACAACAAUCUUUAACAUAAACUUUGUUGAUUUUUCUUCAUUUUUGGACUUCAACAAUUUCAUUUUCAUGGUCAUAUUUUCCAUAUCUUUUUUGCCACAAUCAACACACUUAAUUUUGACACCAUGUGUCUCUGACACAUUUUGUCUUUGUGCUCUAAUUUCUGUUUGAGUUUCACUUGGUGUAAGCCACUUCAUGACAUUAUGUACUUUACCAUCCAAUCUUGACAACCCCAUAAUUUAUUCCCUGUAUUUGGCCCUUUUUUACUUACGGUACAAAUUACACAUUGCUUUGGGAACCAACAAUUUGGAAUCUCACCAUUGUCGCGCUAAACACUUGAACUGAAUGAUCCUGAGUUGUACCCACACAAAUUCGAACCAGUGAUGUGCUUGGAAGCCAUUGAAGGUGUUCAUGUUUUGGAAUGAUAAAAAUGGAGUUAAAGUUUGAAAAUUGGGGGAAAAAGGUGUGUAAGAAUGAAAGAGAUAACACUAACCACACCAGAUCUAAAAAAAAAUGGUGUAUUUUACCCAUUAACAUGCCGCAUCAUACACUUAACUGUCACAUCAUCGUUUUUGUAACAUUUGAUUAACAACAUAAAUAAAUUGAAAAUGUAUACAAACUUAAAUAACUUAUGUGUGAACAAUACAACUUAAAUGAUUUAUUUAAUACAAUUCUCAACCUUAAAACACAUAUGGUGUAAUUUAGCAUAUAAUUUAAGUUAAAUACUUCUUUUGGUCCUCUAAGUUUGACAAAAACGUCGAGUUAGUCUUUUAAAUUUUAAAUAAAUAUUUUUAUGUUUUUUAAAUUUCAAAUAGGUCUUUUUAAAUUUUUAAUUUAAUGCUCCUAUUUUUUUAAAAAAAAAGUUUGUAAGUUUCAAAUAAAUCCUUAAAAGACUUAUUUGAAUUUAAAAAAAUUUAAAUAUUAAUUCAGUAUUUUUGUCAAGUUUAAAAUAUCAAAAGAGGUAUUUAACCUUUACUUUAUAAAUAAGUUAUUUAACAAAAUGAGAAAAAAUAAAAUAAAAAUGUUUUUCACGGGUUUAAUAAUAUCUAGUCUAGUCUAGUAGUAGUAUAAAUACAGAGAUCCAUCUUCCCCAUUACCCAAAACCCUAACACUAAACCCUCACCCCUCUUACUCCACUCACCUCCAAAAUGUCUAUGUACACCGCUCUCCGUCGCGCAACCGCCGCCGCAGUUCCUCUCCUCUCUCGCCGUGCAGCGGCAACUUCCUCUAGAACUUUCCACAGCGCAAUCGCCGUUAACCUCCUUCGCCAGAACGAAACCACUCAUUUUGUACCCUCUCGUAGCUUCGCCUACGGCGUUUUAGCUAAAACCCCCGCAGAUGAUACUCUCCUUCGAGUCCUUAACAGUGAAAUCGACUGUGCUCUUGAGGAUAAUGAUAGCCUUUCAGCAAACGUAAUUUUUUUCUUACCCUUUUGUUUUAAGUUUUUUUUUUAUUUUUUAAUAUUAGUGUUUUGUGAUUGUAAUUUUCUUUGAAGAUUGUUUAUUUUUCUUCAGAUUUGGGUUUUUUAUAUGAAAGUUUCAAAUUUUUUUGUUGGGUUAGUGAGUUUAUUUGAUUAAAGUUAUGUAUGCUUGUGAAUUUUUUUUUUUUUUUUUUUCCCUUUUGUGAGGUUUUUUUGUUGGGUUAGUGAGUUUAUUUGUUUCAAUGUUAUUUAACAGAAUCUUUUGAAUGAUAAUGGUUGUUAAUUGUUAUAGGGUUGUUAGUGUUGUGGUGAUUGUUACCGGCUCUGUAGUUGCGUGUCCGGUAUCUGACGUGUCAUUAACACCGACACAUGUAAUCACAUUGAAUCAUGUCAUUUUCUCAGAUUAUUGUCAAUGUGUCGUUGUUGGUACUUCAUAGGUUACCCUUGAAGUCAAAUGUAGAUCACAUUGACACAUGUAAUCACAUUGAAUCAUGUAAUCACAUUGAAUCAUGUCAUUUUCUCAAAAUAUUAUCGGUUUCAAUGUGUUGGUGUCUAGUACUUCAUAGGUUACUCGUGUUGUCAAAUGUGGAUCAAGGUUUAUAGUAGUUUGUUCAAAUUUCAGACCUACAAUGCUACAGCGCCACUAUUUGACAACACUUUGUACUAAAUACGUUUCACAUAGCAAUAGUGAUUCGUUCAAAUUCUGCUACACUGUAUAGUGUUAUAUCACUGCUAUGGCCGAUAUUUGACAACAUUGCUUGUUUAUGAGUUCCACCGAAAAAUGGUAUUGGAUGAAUGAUGUCCCUUUUGAAUGUAGCUCGAAGUUUGCAUUUAGUUAAUGUAAAUAAAGUGGAACAGUUGAAGAGCUCUACUGUGUUGUGUAUGUGGGUAAUUGUUAUUCUUAUUUUGUCCUGAACUAGUAACAGCGCAAGAUUUGUCUUUUGUAGUUUGGUUUUGUUGUUUUCUUUUGCUGAGUUUGGUUUAUAAGCUUAGCAUAAUAAGUGUCAUUAAUAUUUCUACCGGUAUCAUAGUUUUGCACAUGUGAGUCCUCAUAACUGCCUUCGUUGUUCAUUUUUUCUUUUAAGUUCUUGAUCUUUUAGUGGUUAAAAAUACAUGCCACUCCAUUUUUUAUUAUAUUUCACUCCAUGUGUUUAAAUGACCAAUUUUAUAAGUUUGGAUUCAUUUUUCUCUGUCUUGGAUUCUUCGUUUCUAUUUCUCAAUAAUUUGCGUGUAGGAUUUAAUAAAAUUUACAUACCAGUUGCCAAAACAUGCUAUAACUUGACUGGAUUUGUAAACCUUUUAUCCAUUAGAUGGAAAUUGCGCUUUCAAAUAUUUUUUAUUGCUCUGACAUCAUUGAGGGUUUGUUUCAAGAUCAGUUUGGUGUUAUGUUUGGUAUCAUGGUGCUGGUCGCUUUGCGCCUUUGCCGAAAGCACGGAGCCACUAUUAUUUUCCUUGUAGAUUUGAAUAUCUCUUGUAUUGAUAAACCUUAUUUUUAGUCUGAAAGUUGAAACAUUGAAUAAAAUUGAGAAAACAUCAUAUUAUUAUCUGCAGAUUAUAUCCUUGGUAUAAGAAAAUGCAUGAGAAUUAUUAUUAACUUUGAGUGUCAUCUAUUAUAACUUUGAGUGUCAUAUACUGAUGAUUGGCACUUGGAAUUCUGUAUUCUAGCCGCAAAAUAUAAGUUAUGAUAAGAUUCCCUUGUAGAUCUGUCCCACAAUCAGCCUUUUUUAGGGGUCAGGAUUAACACAAAGAUUACCAUAUGAAUAUUAUGUGAACACAUUUGCUUUUGAUAUUAACUGCCAUUUGAAGUUCACUAUCACUUUUGCGUAACUUUUCCAGCUUGAAUUUCCUGGUGAUUUUCCUUUUGAGGUCGAGGACAACCCUGGAGAAAGAACUAUUCAACUGAAAAGACAAUUUGAAGAUGAAACUAUCACAGUUCAAGUUGACAUCCCUAACGUGGCACCUCAACAGAGUGAGGAUGAGGCUGACCCCGAGAAGAUUGAGAAUGAGAAUGAUAGCGAAUCUAGUAUUCCUUUAGUUGUGACUGUUUUCAAAGGAAAUGGAGUGUGUAUGGAGUUUGGGGUGACUGCUUUCCCUGAUGAGGUUGUGAUUGAUAGCUUGUCCAUAAAGAAUCCGGAUGAAUCUGAAGACCAGCUGUUAUAUGAGGGACCUGAGUUCACGUAAGCAUUUAGUAAUUGUGAUUUAAUUUUAUCAUAUGAUAAUGUCUCUAUUACAGUUUCUGAAUGUUUCUGUUAUUUUUUACAGUGAUUUAGAUGAAAACCUGCAGAAGGCUUUUCUCAAGUAUCUCGAGAUCCGAGGGAUAACACCCAACACAACCAACUUUUUGCAGGAAUACAUGUUCAACAAAGACAACAAGGAAUACUUGGGGUGGCUGAAGAAACUGAAGAGUUUCAUUGAGAAAUGAAUAUGAAAAUAUAACUAUUGGGAUUAUGAAAUAUGAAAUGUUGAUGAUGCCCUUGAUUUUAGUUUAAAUGCAUGUUAUGUCCUGUAUUAUGAUCUGAGGGUUACUUGAGGAUGCUAAUAAUUUUUGAAAACUUGGAUUAUUCAGACUGAUGUUUAUAAUUUUAGUUUACCCUUCAAUCAAUACAAGAGUCUCUAGAUAGGUCUCAUUUGUUUCUGUUUACUUUUCAUUCUUGAGAUGUUGUAUGUAGUUUGGCUAGAUGAAGGCAGUACAAUUCAUCAUUGCCUUGUUGUUGCUCUGUUCUUUCAAGUUUCAACCAUUGUUCGUGUAGUAAGGUGUAGUUUAUGGUAUAGAUCAACUCACCUCUUUCCUAUAAGUUGGUUUUGAUCCUAUUACCAGGGGGUUGGAAGGGCGUGGCUGCGGGGUGGACAAAAUAACCAAAAACUGAACUGAACUGAUUCUGUAAAUAAAAUUCAAUUUCACCUCACCUCUUUCCUAUAAGUUGGUUUUGAUUCUGUAAAUAAAAUUCAAUUUUUUUUUUUUUAUUUUUUUUUCAUUAUUUUUUCAAAGGUAUCAAUAAUAACAGUUCGGUUUGGACCAGUUCAGAUCGAAAUGCAAACAGUGCCGUUUAGUUAUUUUAGAUUUUAGCAAACAAUUCAGGUCGGUUCAGUUUUCAUCUUGAGCUGAACCAUGCCCACCCCUAGUUGUGUCGGUUCAAGCCUGUUGGGUAAAAUUGGCAGCUCUCCUUUUAUCCAAUACACAACUUUUAUAUUUUGAGGGGAAUACAAACAACAUAAUUAUAACAAGGUUUCCAUACCUUGACAGGUCAAACACAUUUUCUAAGAGUAAAUAUCCAAGUUCGUCAUUGAAUUUUCAACGAUCAGUCAAAUUCUUCUUCAAAUUUUUUGAAAUGUCUAUUUUGUCUCUGAAUUUAAUGAUGUCCAUCAAAAUGGUCUCUCUGUCAAAAUGGUCCCUCCGUUCAAGUGCUUUGUUUUAACUUUUUAAUUGACAUUUUUUUUCUAAUUUUUCCAAUUUUACCCCUCUAUUACCCAUACCUUCCAUCCUCACAUUUCACUCAGACACAUCAAACACAUCAUUGACCUUUCUCCUUCCCGUUAAAACCUUUACCAUCUUAACCUCUCCAAAAUCAUCAUCAUCAUCUCCGGCGAUCCAUUGAUGAUAUUUUUCACUAACUGUAGGGAUCGUUUUGAUACAUAGACAAACAAUUUAAGGACCAAUUUGAUUUACAGAUUUUGACAGAGGGGUUGCAUCCAUUCAUUUUCAACUUAUUUUCAUUACACGAUUACACAGACUUAGCAUAAUACAAUAACAUGUUAAACAAUCCAAUCAAACGAAUUACUUCUAUCAAAUACUUAAUCAAUCUAAACUCACUUCGUACACAAUCAACUUUAUCCGUCAACCUUUCACCGAUGAAGUUCAGGGUUUUCCACACAAUGUUUAGUAACCAAAACUUGCAAUGAUAGUUGCGUUUUAUUUAUUUAUCAUUGAAGAGUACAAUAACAUCAUCAAUGACAACAACAAGUCAAAAAUUGAGGAGUGGUUCCAACCCUAAUAUUCACAAGUAUAAAAAUAUCAUGUAGUAUUCAAUUAUUUAGAAGUUUUAAAAUAUUUUUUGCAACACAAAUAUAAUCAAUUUUCAUGGAACAUUUACAUGAGAGAUGAAUUUUUUUUUUCUUUUUAAAUUUUUUUCAGCAAUAUAUAAGAGAUGAAACUAGAGAUAAAACUAAUUCUUUCCUAUUACCUGAAAGCAAAAGAAAAGCAAAGCACAAAAUCAAGCGAAUACGAGAUUGAUAGAUAUGAGAAGCCAUUAGUAUUUCACCUUAUAUUUUAUUGCAUGAUGUAGGACUAACACGUUCUCUAUAUAUAUACACAUAUAAUCAUAUAUUUAAGGUAAACAAUUAAGAUCCAUAACCUUUCAAAAAAAAAAAUUAAGAUCCCUAAAAAAUAUCGACUCAAAAAAGAUACAUUAAAAAAUAAAAAUGCUUUUUAUUUUUAUAACUUUAUUACAUCAAUAGAAACAUUAAUUUCUGUCAAAAGAAAUCAAUGGAAAUGUAAUUUAUCAUUAUUUCACUAUAAAAACUGUAAUUUUUUUAGUCAUAUGAAAACUUUAAGUUAAAUAUUAGGAACUAUUUAUUUCUCUAUUCUUUCCAUGGAAAGAUUUGUAUUAAGUCAAACUCUUUUUUUACUUAAAUUCAAACUAAUUUGAACUUUGGUAAGGUAGCUCAAUUGAUUUGAGUUAAAAGAUUAAAAAAGUUAAAGAAUUUAAGGAUUAGGAUUCGACUAUUCAAGUAUCGACAAUGACUACAAAGAAAAUGUGAUUUUUUUACUUAUAAUUUAGGACAGAAGAAGUAAUAUUUAUCAUUAAAAAACUUGAAGUGGUUUGUGAUUGUUUUCAGGUUAGGGAAUAACUGUAUUGGGUGAUCUAUUAGUGUGAUUUUGGAUCUUGCAUUGUAUUGAGCUUCAUUUGUAAAUCUUUUGUACGGGUUUCUAUGUAUUUGAUGAUGUUCAAACUUUCAUCAAUCCAUGCACAACUUGUACUUGGAUUAAAAAUAAAUAAAUAAAUAAAAUCAAACCGAGCCUUAAGACCAUCCAUAAUUGGAUCGUUUGAGUCUAUAAACUUAGCAUUUAAUGAAAAUAAUAGUGGUACUUAUUUAUUAAGGACCACCAUUUAUCUAAUACCCAAAUUGAAGAUGAAAUAAAAUGGAUACCUAAGGAGAAGGAGUUAUACAAGCAGUCUCUUUUUCUUUACCUUUUAUGUAUCCUACUUAAUAAAUUUGCAUUAAAAUAAAGAGAAAUCAUAUUUAUCCAACUAUUUUGUGAUAACUUUCUCUCUUAUAUUUACAUUAUUUUUUUACCCUCUCUCUCUUUAUUGCUUUGGUUUACGUGUCAAUACAUAUUUUCCUUUAUAAAUUUAUGCUUAUCCUAAAAGUUGUCACCAAAAUGGUUGUUUAAAUAAUACAUCUCUGAUGUAAAUGUGUUGUUAAAAUGUAAUUAUAUACAGUUGUUGGUGGAUUCAUUUAUAAAUUUUGAUUAAAGUGUUAAAUUGGAGGAUGUGAACGUUUAUUGUUGGAGGAAGUGAAUUUUUGUUCUUAAAAAAUUAUGUCUAAUAAUCAUUCCGUCACAAAUUAUAAGUCGAUUUGGAAAAAUUAACUUCUUAAAAAGAUUAAAUAGUUGUUUUAGAAAAAAAAAUUCGUUCCAAAUUAGAAAUCACCUUACAAUAAUAAUGAAAUAUUAAUACUGUUUUUUUAUACACUUAACUAUUUAUUAUUCUCUUUUCUCAAAAAAAAAAAAAUUUAUUAUUCUCUUUUCUUUUAAUUUUUUAAUUUAUCUUUAUUAUAUCAUUAUUAAAGAUAUUUUUGUAAAAAAACUCAUAAUUUUAUUUUCAUAAAAAUUAACUACAUUAUAAUUUAGAACGGAAGGAGUACCUAAAAACCCCUAAGCAUCCAAAUGAAAAUACCAGUAGAUUCUCCAAGAAAAUUAAACAAAUUCUUCUAUCUUUUUUCUAUCUUAAUUCUUAAGUUUUGGUUGUAACGUACGACAUAAUUAUACUCCGGCAUUUUUCUAUGUGCUAUACUUUUCCUCUUCGAAAUUUCUUUGGUCAAAUCAAACGAUAUAAUAUUUUGCUAACCUUUCCUUUUACAUUUCUAUCAUAAUUUUCUUUUAUUUUUUUCUCGUAUUUUCCUUUUACAUCUUACAUAUUUUGCAACUCAAUAAUAAUUUCAUUAAAAGAAGAAUAACAAAGGAGAGAGUAGUAGUAGAAUUCAAUUAAAUAAUUUUAACAAGGAGUGUGCGGAUAUGAUUUUCUUAGAGAGAUUGUUGAUUAUUAUUGCGUCACAUCACACAAAUUGUUUCCACCUUUCCAAUGUUAAUUGCGCAGAAUUUUAUAGUAUAACUUUUCGUGCAAACAAGGUUGUUUGACUUUAUAUUUGUCAAGAUAAGAAGAUCGUUGACUAUAAAUUAUAUGGAGUAUAUAUAAAGGGUAAAGCUGUACAAGAAAAUAAGACUCAAAAGCCAACAAAAUAUGGGGAAUUUUUGCUCUGGACAUGAAAAGAGAAGAGAUGAUAAAAUAAACAAGAAAAAUGGUGGAUUUAAAGCCAUGCAAGGUGGUAACAUGGUUUUUAUGACUGAUGCUAAUCCUGGAGGGGGUCAUCAUGGACAUGAUGGAGGUGGAGGUGGUGGCGGAUGUGGAGGUGGUGGUGGAGGUGGCGGAGGGUGUGGAGGUGGAGGUGGUGGCGGAGGGUGUUGAGGUGGCGUUGGAGGCUUCUGAGAUAUGGUUGGCGGUAUUUUGUUGGAUUGUAUUUACUUAGUUGACAUGCCACCUUAUAUAGUCAUAUUUUGUAAAUAUUUGGUAACCUUAUAUAGUUAAUUAUACCUCUUUAUCUUAUGUGAAAUAAACCAUGUUGUACUUCUAUUCAAAUUGAUGUUAUAUCAUAGUUUUAUAAGUUUUUAUAUUUGGAUAGUGAAAGUAUGUUAAUUUGUACAACAUAAUUUUGAAUGAAAUUUAUGUUUUGCAAAAUUAGAUUAAAAUUGAAUUUAAAUUUGAUUCUUAAGGUCUCAGAUUCUCUCUGAUGCCAAUUUAAAGGGUUAGUUUAGCUUCUUCAAAAAAAAAAAUUAAAUUCAAAUAUUCAAGGGCGCUUGAAUGAGAUUAUGUUAGUCUUUUUCAAUUGAACCAGAUAUCUUGUGUUCAAAUAGCCUACUUCCUACUAUGUUUAAAAAAGUUCUAUAACAAAUGCUUUUUAUAGCAAAAAUUUAAUCUACGAAACUUUCACGACUACAUAAACACAUCUUUAUUUUUGACAACUGCAUGUUUGAUAAGUGGGUUUUAUUUAUUUAUUUAUUGCCAAGGCAUUUUCCCAUUCGUGAAACAUUCGGAAGAUUUCUCUCGUGAAUAUAGCAUUCUCCUAGUUCUAUAUAUUCUCUCAACUAUAUCAUUUUGUUGUGAUGAUCUUGAACUUUCCAAAAGACAGAAAAUGCCACGAGUUGCACGGAAUUUAUUGAACUCCUAUGAAGUGAAUUUACCUCCUUGAUUAGAUCUCAAAUUAUUUGUGAUUGUAAACUUAACUCAGUUGGUAGGAACAAUGUAUAAUAUAUGUAAGAUUCGGUGUUUGAAUCCCGACCACCACAAAAAAUAUCUCAAAUUAUUUUUAACUCGUUAUAUCAGAAAUGGCAAAAUGGAUCAACUCGUUAUAUUUAGCUCCGCAUUACAAUUAACUUGAAAAAGAUAUGGCGAGGCGGACCAAUAUGUGUGGGUUGUCCCGUAUAACAAAAAAAAAAACUUCCUAAAAAAACAUAAACUAUUCCCAUUUUUUUUUUACAAUUUAUUAUUACAAAAGAAAAUUGUUAUUAUAAGAAAUUGGCAGUUUGAUAAGUUUGUGGUAAAAACAUCAAUGACUCAAUGUCAUUCGCAACAACAUAGUUAACAAAUGAAACCUCAUCAGCAAUCUAACAACAUAAAUACAAUAAAUAUAAUUAACAGAAUCAAACAAACAAUGUCACUAGUAUAAAUUAAGCAACAUUUAACAAAUCUCAAAAUAAAUCCCCCAUCAUACAAAAAAAACCAACCAACAUUCAAAGAAAUUGCAAAAUAAAUCGUCAGUUUGGGGCACCUAUUAUUACUUACUAAUAUAGUAAUAAUUUUUACUUUUGAGGAGCCCACAUGCCAACCUGCUUGCCCCAUUUUUACAACAGGAUAAACGGUGCAGAUCAAUUAAAAAAGGUGGACUCAAAACAUCGACCCACUCUAUCUUAAAUAGUGGGUUAAAUGGGUCAGUCAAACGUACUAUAUAUGUUUUUCCACCCCUAUUAACAUUAGAGGUGGGGGUUAUUUAUCAUAAGAAACAAAGGGGAACUUCGAGUGCAACGACGAAAGAUAAAAAUGCUUAAUAAUAAGGUAAAAGAGUUCACAUCUGGGUGAAAGUGAGGAAAGUUAAAAGAGAUAAAAUAAUGUUAAAUUGAAAUGAAGUUUUUUUUUUUUUUUUUUUUUGUCAAUUUAAUAACAAAAUAAGGUAGAUUGGAGUUUAGUUAAAAACUAAAGGGUGUGUUUAGAGCUCUCAAACGGAAAUUGCUCUUUAAGCUUCAAUAAUUGCUCUCCCACGCCCCAAAAUUAACUAAAUACCAUAUACGAUAAUUAACUGUAGUUUGCUAUCCAAAUGUAGUUAAUUGUCGUUAUGUUUGUGAUAGUUAACUACCAUUACAUUCUGUCUUAUAUUAGCGCAACAACUCACUUCCAGACUUCUACAAAGAAAACAAUGCAUGUAAAGCAAUGUAAAAUGUUGAAUGAUGAUGAAAGUGAAGGUUUUCCAAGAUGUUGUUAUAAACUUGAUAUAGAUGAUUUGUUGAUGACAUGUCAUCUUACGUUAUUCUUAGCAUGUUUUUCAGUUAUUUUUAAUAGGUUUUAGCUGCAAAAAGGAGGAGUAUUAGAACAAUUGUCUAUGAUUUUGGAACUUUUGUAAUGUUUUCUAUAUUUGAGUAUAUAAUUUUAGUAAUGUUGAUGUUCUGGAUGAUGCCUCUGAUGUUCCAAAAUGUCCAAUUAUGCAAUAAUUUUUAGAUAUUCUUUUGAAGUAAUGUUGAAGUUUGUUACUUUCUUUCAAGAUGAGUUCUUGUGUUAAAAUGAAAGAAGGUAUGACUGUGUGGUAUCUCUCUACCUUGUACGUAUGGCCUCAGUUUGUUUUAGCCAAAAAUUUGUAAAAGGGGGAGAUUGUUGGGUAUUUGAUUAUUGACUUCAUUGUUGGUAAAACAAAUACUCAUGUAUGAUGUUGGAUACAAUGUUCUAACAUCUUGACACAGUUCAGUGUGUGGCUUGAUUUCGUGAACUGUAUCUUUUUUAAGGAAACCACACCUUAUUUCUUGUUCACCAAGUAACAUAUUUUUGUCCAGGAUCAGUUGGAUGAUUUGUUCCUAAAGUAUAGACAAUAUUUUAGGAUUCCUUGGUGAUGUUGUUUGGCGGUUCCUAAAUAUGUUCCUACUUUUUAGGUGUUGAUAUAUUUUUUAAGUGAGAUCACUGAAGAUUCUAUGAAGAUUUUAUUCAUGUGACUUAUGGUCCAAGAGACUUGUGUUUCCAGAAGAAAAUAUUUUUCAGAUGGAUAUUUUUAUUUGUGAAAUAUAUUUUAAAAGAGAUUUUGGAAGAUAUAUUUCUGAAGAAUAUUUGUUUCAAUAUAUUUCUGAAAAAAAUAUUUGAUACAAAUAUAUGUUUAGCCUAUGAGGAAAAAGCCCAUGCUGCUGAAUGGCUAUACGAGGAAGACUCAUACCAUAGUUUUAUUUACUAAUUCAAUAGUUUUGAAUUGAGUCUUUUAGGGUUUCGACUUGUGCUUUAUUUUUGAGCCUCUCUUUGUAUCACCUUGAUGCAUUGAGAAAGACCUUUAGUUGAGUUGUAAUGGAUCAAAACCCACGUUUUAUAUAAGAGUCAUAAUUAGGGUUUUGUGUCCUUGUUAUUUGUGUUUCACUCGUAAGCUUUUAAGCAAGAGUGGAUUUUAUUGGAGUGUGUCUCCAUUUUGAUUGUAUUUGUUUAAAUUACAGGGGUUCUGAGAUGGGAUCUCAGAUCUAGGAGUUCCUAUGUUGAAGUCAAUACGGGUAAGUCCUAGGUCUAGAGUUGUAAACGAGAGAUUUGCUGAUAACUUAGAAUAAGGACUACACUAGUGGAUUUCCUUCCUGGCUUGGUAGCCCCUAGAUGUAGGUGAUGUUGCACCGAACUGGGUUAACAAACCUUCUGUGUCUUUUUACUUUUAUGUCCUUUAUAUUUCCAUUGUUGUGUUUGUUUUCUACUAGCUCGAUGUUGAAACAUCUUACUCAACAUUCUGUUUGAGUCUGAUGUUGAAACAUCAUAUAAAACAUCAGCAAACUAGCCCACCAGAAUUUCAGUUUGUAUCUAGAUUGAUCUGCAAUUAUUAUAUUGAUGCAUUCCUUGUCAAUCAAAAUUUCAUAUGAAGAGCACAUUUUUUAGUAUAAAACCUUGCAAAGAAACAAUAUGUCUUUUUUUUCUUUUUUGUGUGUGAAAAAAGCAAAAAUUUUGAUCUACAUUACAUAUCACUUUUAAAUAAAAAUGAUAAUAUUGAAAUAUGGGUCUGGCUGCCUCAACAUAACCCAUAAUUUUUUUGGUUGAACUCAAUUUUUACAUGAAAGAUGCUCAAUAAGCCAACAAAAUGCUCACAUGUCCCUCAAAAUUAAAAAAAAAAAAAACCUCUAUGCUUCUAACUUCUGAUCGCUCUAGUUCAGGAGCAAAGACUCGAUCUCCAUAGAUUUCAUUUAACCUUGGAUCAAAAGUUAUGAAUCGAGAUCAGAUCGAGAGUUAAAAUUUGAUCCAUUCAUGCUUCAGACUUAGACAUAAUUUACAGUACCAAACACGUAAUUCAUUAACCAUUCAUAUUUUCAAGAACAAUUAACAACACUCAUAAUCGAACAAUAAUUUUUGACAAUCAUGAUUCAACAAUACACAAAAACUUAUAAUUCACCAUCAAUAAUUCAACAUUAAUAUGGUUUAGAAACAAGAUGUUCAACCAUAACUAUAAGUAAAGCACAAAACAAAAUUAAAAACUAAAUUAUAAUUUAAAAACAUCAAAAGAUUGCAUUGAAAUUGAAGGAAUUAAUGUGCUGAGUAGUUUCAGAGUUCAGGACGGAUAACGUUCAAGUCUUAACUUUUGAUAAAUAACAAUCCAUGUUUAAAAAAAAUGUAAAACAACAAUGUAAUCAGUUUAAAAGAUGUAAUUCAUAUUCUUUGAUGUCAUAUGAGUGAAGAAAUCAUUAUGCAAUUAUGUAAUGAUAAUUAGAGUUUAGGGAGGUUGUGUAGCACAUGCUUGGUUGCUUGAUAUUUAAAUAGAAUUGCAGUUCGGGUCAUAACCUCAAAACUUGAACGAGUAGGAGUUAUAACCAAGAGAUCGAAUUGUAACUUCCAAAAAAGGUAUUUUUUUGGGUUUCGAGGGGUGUAUGAGCAAAUGAAGGGGCCUAUUGAGAUUUUUUUUUACAUCCCUUAUAAGAAGUGAUUGGUCAAUUCCAUCCCAUCUAUAUGUGUUGGCUCGUCAGGCUAGGGCUAGGCCGAGUUAGCCCAUUAGCAACUCUCGGGUGUGUGAGUGUUACUUAAAAAGGCUGGAGGAGAUUAAUGUAUUUUUCUCAAAAACAAUUAAGGCUUAAAUAUGCAAAUGGUAUUUGCAAAUUUCAAGGGUUUUGAUUUUAGUCUUGUAUUUUUUUUUUAAUGGCAAAAUAUAUAUAUAUAUAUAUAUAUAUAUAUAUAAAAGAGAGAAUUGUACAAGAUACAUCAAAACAUCUGUCAAGUGACGCACCUGAAAACCACCAAAGGAUAAACCCCAAGGGCCACACAAAAAAACCAUCCAAAUACGGAAAAAAAAAAAAAAAGGAAAAACUACACAAAGAGAAAGCUACACCAAAAGAGAGAAACAAAAAGUAACAAUCUUCACCCAACAAAAAUUUGUCGUGACAGAGACAAAAAAGCAAAGAAACAACCGCAUAAGCAGGCCAGGAAAGAGGAUACAGAAGCCCCCACCCAAACCCCCAAGCGAACCGAGGCAAACCGCCACCAAAACCCUAUCGAUGCCAACAUAGGACGGGCUGCACCUCCAACUCAUGAUAAGUGCAUGAACUAGCAUGACACUUGGCAAGGAACCGCUUCCAAGCUAAGAGUUUCACUCUAUACACCACAGGCUCCUCACGGAGAGUGCCACUAGAGAAAAUAAGGCGUUCCGAGACGUCCAGAUGGUCCAAAUAACAACAUGUCAAACCAGAAGAAGACCUAAUCUAACUCUCUUCCCCCUCUAAUGCCCGUGAAGGCAUGCAAAUAUAUGAUCUUUUGUUUUGGUUCUUGGAGUUUUAUUUUAGUCUCUCUAAAAUUUAUUCAUAUUAAAAUUGAUGCAUAUAAUAUUCAUUUUAGUCCUUAUUUUAAGGGAUUAAAAUCAAAUAUUCUACAUAUUACAAUGACCAAAUCCAAUAUGAAUCAAUUUUCCAAGGAUUACCAUGACCAAAUCCAAUAUGAAUCAAUUUAGAAGGACUAACACUAAAACGAAAUUUUUACUAGACUAUUAAACUUUUAUUUAACUCAACUUUUAAACUUCUAUUUUUGCUUCAACGCUCACGUCUUCAGAUCUGCAACGUGGAUGACGCCAAAGUGAUUGAUUUGAUUUAUACCAUAUCGAAGCUGAUUUGGCAAUUUGAACCAAACAAAUACCUGAACAAAACAAGAAAGACAGACAACGCCGCACAAAGACGACGAAAAAACCAAGGUCGCACUAAGACGGAGAAAUCACAAAAUGAAAACGAAAUAGAUGUGAAAAUCACUUAUUUCAAUAAAGGAAAAGAGAAAAACUAGUUAGAGGAGUGAUUUUGGGUAAAAAAAUUGACCUUAAAUCACUCAUCUUUAAUGGAUGAAGGAGAAGAAACUAGAGUUUUUGUGACGUCUCAAAGAGAGGAAAGAGAGAGAACAAAGAGAAACUCUUGUGACUCCGAACAUCACGCUUUCUUGUCAAUUAAUAAUCGUAUUAAUUAGAAUUGGAAUGAGUUUUACAAAAUUUAUAUUGAAACUUAUUUUUUUUGACAAUAUCCAUUUUUUAAUAGUAGAACUCUAUUAAAUAAUUUUAACAAAAGAUUCUCGUGAGCUUAAUUCGGUUGAUAUAAAUAAUGUAUAAUAUAUACAAGGUUAGUGGUUCAAAGAAGAGCUUUAUCACAAAAUACAUUUAACAAAGGAGUGUGUGGAUAUGAUUGUUUUGGGAAUGGUGCGAAUACGGUGCAUACGAAACUUCAUGGAUGAGCAAUAGUUGCUCACUGAUUUGAUAUCUUCUAUGUACUAUAUAGUACCUAUUUUGUCGGUUUCUAAGAAGUAAGUUGACCUCUUAGCACCUUUUAUUGCUAAUUCAGUGAACUUUAUCGUCGAUGGUAUGUAUGAGACAUGAUCAUUAUAUAUUUUUUAAGGAGACAUGAUCAUUAUUAUUAUUUCUACAAAAGGGUGCUGUAUUUUUGUUAUUAUUUUUAAUCUAGUGUUAGUGCUCGUUUAUUUUAAUCUCCCAUUUUUUUCUAGUAAAAUAAAUGAGAAGAUAUGCUGCAUGUAUGAAGUUCACUUAUUUAUUAUUAAUUUUUUUAAGGGAAAAAAAAAAUUGUGUAUGCCACGUAUCAAUGACCACUUAAAAUGUGUCACAUAUCAAUGUUAUUUUAUAAAUGUUUUAUUCGAUAUACAUUUUUUAAAUGGUAUGCCACAUGACACAUCCUAAUUAAUCAAUGGUAUAUAUCUUUGAUACUUUAAUGGUGCACAAGUGUUAUCCGUCUUAGAGUGAUGGUUGAAUAUUAUUAUUAAUUGCGCAUAACUUAUAAGACUUUUCGUGAAAACAAGGUCGUUUGACUGAAGUUCCAAGGAGGUUAAUUGACUAUAAAUUAUUAGUUAUAUAGGUGUAUAUAAAGGGUAAAGUUGUACAGGAAAAUAAGACUCAAAAGCCAACAACAUAUAUACAGAAAUGGGAAAUUUUUGCUCUAGAUAUUGUGGAGGUAAAGGUGGAGGUGUAGGUGAAGGUGGAGAUGGAAUAGGUAACAUUGUGACUGAUGCUAAUCCUGGAGGGGGUCAUCAUGGAGGGGGUCAUCAUGGACAUGGUCAUCAUGGAGGGGGUCAUCAUGGAGGUCAUCAUGGACAUGGUCAUCAUGGAGGGGGUCAUCAUGGAGAUGGUGGUGGAGGUGGUGGCGGUGGGUGUUGAGGUGGUGGUGGAGGCUUCUGAGAUAUGGUUGGAGGUAUUCUAUUUUGUUGGAUUGUAUUUACUUACUUAUUUGACAUGCCACCUUAAUUAUAUCUUAUGUGAAAUAAAUCUUGUUGUACUUCUAUUCAAAUUGAUGUUAUAUCAUAUUUUUAUAUGUUUCUAAAUUUGGAUAGUGAAUGUAUGCUUUAGUAUGUUGUACUUUUUGAAUAAAAGUUGUUUUUGCCAUUUGAUUCGAUUUAAUUUGAAUUCCAAUAUCUGCUUUUAGCAAAAUGAUGUGGGUUUGGUCGACUUCCGUCCCUGCUCGACGGGUGGGUCUUGCAGUCAAACUCCCUUCUACCUUUGCACUCGAGGGCCAAUCUUCAUCUUACCCGAGGAAAACUUUACAAUAGGUUCCACUCCAAGAAAAUGGUUUCGAUGCUAUGUUGUUUAUUCAUAUUGUUUAGUCACAAACUUAAUGUGACAUUUAAUAGAAUAAAUUUUGAUUGCUGUUGUUGUAUCCUGUCACUUAAUCAUAAUCUUCUGAUCAUAUUUCUAGUGUAAAACAUUUUGUAAUGAUAUAAAAAUUCAACUCCAAAAGUAAACAGAGUGGACCUACUAGAAAAGGUGGACUCAAAACCUUGACUUAGUCCGUCUAAAACAGCGAGUUAAAUUAAUUGGAUCAACAAACUAUAUUUGUUUUGUCACUCCUAUUAACAUUAGACGCGUGGGUUAUUCAUAGUGGCGGAGCCAGAAAUUUUAUCGAAUAUGAAUAAAAUUUUGAUUGUAAAUUCACAUAUGACAAUAUAUAAAUAGUUAUAAAUUGAAGUAAGAGAGACUCGUCAUUUUUUCGAUAAAAGUAUAAUUUGAAAUAAGAGAGAGAUGAAACAUAACUUGUCAAUAGUGUGCUAAAUUAAAUUAGGAGUAAAUGCCCUUUCCAAGACCUCUUUGCGGUGAAUGUUCGAAUAAUAUCAACAUUAUCAAGUGCCUUGAAUAUCUCUCGCUCGGUGUAACAUAUCAUCAAGUUAUUGAAACACACAUCGUUGAUCUUGUUGGUAACAAUUAUUUCUCACGAGCUUAUAAGAUUAUUUUACUAGCUUAUUGGCAAAGCUUGAUAACCCGUGGAGUACUUCCAACUUUUGUUGAUGUUGGUAAUAGCUUUAAGAUACCCAUUUUGUUAUUGUAGAUCCACAAAUUAAAAAUUAAAUUCUAAUUUAUUAUGCUCUGUUGUAGAAGUGAUUGUAAGUUUUUUUAGAUAUGAAGUGAUUGUAAGUUGUAACUUGAUUAUGUCAUUUUAUUUAAUAAGCUAUUAUGAAUAGUGAUUCAUGAGACAUCCCAACGUCUAGGUGAAGCCUUAAUAACCAUCCUAUAUUGUUUAUAUUAAUAACCUCUCCGUAUUUAUACAAGUUUUGAGGUCAUUAAAAAAUGAUAAACCAAAUUAAAAGUGAAUAAGAGCACGCCACGUUUCAAGGGACACAUAGCAUUCUAUUCUUCUUUUUUUUUUUUUUUGAAGGAACAGCAUUCUAUUCUUCUUGUAAGUAGGAGGUGUACACUUAUGGUAACCUUAGAAAUCAUGAGUCAAAAGUUAUUGAGAGUGGCAAGUCCUUGUUGCUCCAAUGAAAAAGUUAACAUAAAUGUGGUGUAAAUAAUUUAUAGCUCUUACAAAGUGUAAAUCACUUAUACCAAAAAAGUUAUAUUUCUUUAUUAUUCACAGUGAAUAAUAAAGAUUGUUGUUAUGGUUCAACCACAUGCUUCCAACGUAAAUGAAAUAGAAGCAGGAGGUGAAAUAAAUUGAUAGAUUUCUUAAUUAACAAUGAAGAAAGACAUAUUAUAUUUCUAUACCAACUAUAAAGUGAUGAACUAUGAAGUGUACCAAAAAUAAUGUAGCGUGAAUUAUUUCUAUACCAACUAUAUAAUAUCUAAUGUAUCUACUAGUAGUAUAAUAUGUAGAACAUAUAUGUAUUUAGAAUGUUGAUCCUUAAAACACAUGUAUGUGUAUAUAAAAUAGUAAUAAGAUAUAUCUUUGCAUUUGUCAAUCAUCAGUUAGAAUAUAUAAUAUAGAAAACUAUAUAUGUAUGUGAGCAAAGCAACUUAUAUAUUAUAAUCGUCAUUAUUUUUAUAAAUAAUUAUGUUAUACUUUAUAAUUUGGUUAGUACAAACAAAGUUAAAUUAAAUUUAAAAUAAAAUUUGCCCCAAAAUAUUGAAGAAAGAAUUGAAAACUCAAGGGUAAAAUUGGAAUUUCAUGUAUGACAGUGAUUGCCACGUCAUCAAAUUAGUGACAUGACAGUGAUUAAGUGGAGAGAGGGACGAAAUUUUAAAUGAUUAAACAAUGCAAGGGUAAAUUGCCAAGAUUAGCGAUUACAUGGACCAAUAUUUAAACGACCCCUAAUUGCAAUGAUGAAAUACAUAUUUAAGCAUUUUUAAAAAUGAUCUCCUUAUAGUUACUUACGUUUUGUACGUAGGUAAAAGUGAAAAACGUGCAGUGACAACCAUUUGACAAUGACAGACAUAUUUAACUACGAAAAUUUGGCCUAUAGUAACGGAUUUUGGCCAUACUAUAAGUCAAAUCGUUUGUAAAUUUCUCGUAACGAUACAAAGAAAAUAUGUGUUGAACUCGGGCGUGUGCCCAAGCUCGUCGGACGGUAAAUCUGCCCAUGAUUAUUUAUUAGGAGAAAAAAAGGGAAACUUAGAGUUCAACAACAAAGAUAAAAAUGCUUAAUAACAAAGUAAAAAAAAUUAUGGUAAUCUGCGUGAAAGUGAGGGGAGUUAAAGAGAUAAAAUGGUGUUAAAUUGGAAUGGAGUUUUUUUGUCAAUUUAAUAACAAAAUUAGGGAGAAUGGAGUUUAGUUAAAAAAACUAAAGGGUGUGUUUACGGCUAUAAUAAAAAGAAAAUUGCACUUUAAGCUUCAAUAAUUGCUCUUCUAUGCCCCAAAAUUACUUAAAUACCCUCAACGACAAUUACCUAUAUGUAGUUCAUCGUCGUUGUGCGAGCGACAGUUAACUAUUGUUGUGUUCUUCCUUAUACCAACAAAGCAAACAAUGCAUGUAAAAUAUUAUAAAAUGUUGAAUGAUGAUGAAAGUGAAAAUGAUCUAAGACGUUGUUAUAAACUUGAUCUAACUGACAUGACAAUUGACAUAUUUCUAUUGACAGGGCAACUUGAUCAAGUUUAAAACAGCUUCUUCGUGUUCAGAUCCGCCGGAUAGGUAUUUAUAAGAUGCGUGAAGAUGAAAGGCAAGAUAUUUAUGAACAUGAUCCCGCUAUUGAUGGUAAAGAGGAAAUGUUUUAACGAGAUCCACUAAUAUGAGAUAAAAUGUUGUUAAAGUUUUACAAAUGAUUUGUACUUGUUUACACUUUGAGAACUCUAAGAGUGGUAAACUCUUUUUCGGGAACUUCUACGGUACACCUCACAAAUUAAGGUGUACUGGUACUCCUGCUUCAAAUAUUUACAAUUUAACGAUUAUUUUAUGAAAUAAAGAGUUAUUUAUCAAUAUUUAUAUUUUAUAAUACAUCGUUUUAUAAGAAUAAACAUCAUUUCAUUGUUUAUAAGAAUAUAUUAAAUUUUUAACAUUUUCUCAUAAAAAAUAAUAAAUAUUCUUUGUUAUAUGUAACAAAAAUUCAAAAAAUGUAAAUUUUAUUUCGUCGACACUUUCGGUAACUAAGAUAUAAUUAUUGUAAUAGUUAAUGAUAGAAAACAAUUCUUUUUCUUUGAAAAAACAACUCGUUUCAAUAUGAAUUUGAUGAUUUGGUGUACCGGAACACUCAAAUUUUUUAGUGUAGCAUAGAAUUUGCCAUUAACUUCUGAUACUUAAGAAAAUUCUAAGAAACUAAGUUUGUAAAAUAUUUCUAAGUGUUUGAAGGCUUUUGAAUUUGACAGAGGUUUGACUCUUAUAAAUUUUUUCAAAGUGUUAUGUAUUCUUCAAACUGCUCAAAUCUUUAAAUUGGAGAGAAAAAUGUAGUUGUUGUUUUUAAGUUAGACAGCUCAUCAUAAUCGUCCUUGAGUAGCUUGAUCAAAUUUUGAAAAAUUUACCUCAAUUGGAUAACGUCGUUGAAUAGUACUUGAAAAAAAAAUCCUUUGCUUUAUAUUGAAUGAUCAGUUCAUUCUGUCUUUUUUUUCUUCUUCUUUUCUGCACGUGAUAAAUAGCAGACAAACUAUACUGUCAGCGCUCAAAAGAGACCUUCCAUAAGAAGAAGACAAAACUGGUCAGAGCCACCCAGACUGCUGGCAACAUUAGAACUUGUUUCCUUCCGAGGCUGAAACCAUUAAAGCCUAUUUUCAUCAAAGUAUUUAAGACACCUUCUAAUCAGAGAGUUAACUUUCUGUUGACGUUUAUUCAAAUGUCUUUUAAGUCUACAGAAGUUCUCAAUGGUUUUCUUUAGUACUAAAUUUUUUUCCCUUGUGCUUAGAGCUUGAUAUCUCAUAACCAAAGCCUGACUUUGAAGUCAAAAUUUAAUUAUAUGGUCAUGCACACUUGAACACACAUUAGAGUGUCAGGUUGUUCUUUCAUAAAUUAUUAUCAUCAGAACUUAAGAGACAUUGUCCAAAAACCCAUUAUAGUUCAACAAGAAAUUGUAUAACUCAUUAGAUAGAAUACAAAACAUGUUCCUACCAUUCUUUUGAGUUUUCGAAGAGACUAGAAAAUCAUUACACUAAGUAUAAGAAAGUUCAAUGCCAACAUUUUCAGAAAACUUUCAUGAAUUAAAUAAAACUCUACAUCAUAAUGAUACAACAUCCUUUAGGAGAAUGUCAUGUAAGGCGCUCUUAUUUGUGUUUAUGUACUAUAAUAGCCCGAUUUUAACGGAAAUGAAAUGAAACUACAAAUUAUCAUUUGUGGUUUUCUAUUGUUUAGAUGCAUAUAUCAAGUAGCAUGGAUAAAAUUUGAAGUAUAAAAGGUCAAUGUAAUUUGUGUGGGCUUUAAGUCUGCCGAAAAUGUUAGCCGAUAAUUCAAGACAUUCUUGUAUGUAUUCUGUGCUCAUAGCUACCUCGAUUAGUCGCGUCAUGAACAAGAGUAAAAUGAUAAAUUGUCAAGUUUUCGCAAAGUUUUUAUAUACUAAUACCUACAUGAACUUUGAGAACCUCAAUAGACUUAAGAAAGUUUCGACUAAUCCACAUUUAACUGGUUUUGAGCUCUCUGAUUCUUCAAUUGGUUGAGGGAAACUCGCUCGACCCUAACUUCACAAGUCUGUUGAUUUCGACUAACAAAUUAUUUAUUUUUAAAUGUAAACAAUAUCAUAUCAUUAUUUAUCUAUAAUAUAUUAUGAUAUAUCUAUGCAUUUAUGAGGAGCCAUAUAACAACAUGAUAUAAUAACUCAUAAAAAAAAACUUUAUUGGCCAAAAUUACAUUACGUUCAUAUCUUAUCGCAUGUUUACAAAUCCUUGUAAAAUUUUGCUUUUGAGAAUAAUUAAAUAAAAUCAAACUGAGCCUUAAGACCACCCACAAUUGGUUCGCUUACUUCCAUAAACUUAGCAUUUACACUUUGUAUGGUUGAAGAAUGAAAGUAAAAGGAAAGAAAGAAAAAGGAAAGAUUGUAUGAUCGAGGAAAGAAAGAGAGUAGAAAGUGAGGGGAUUAUUUUAAUUGUUUGAUAUAAUCGAGAGUGGAGUAGAAAGUUAAAGGAAAGAAAGAUCUCUAUAUCAUAAAUUAUAUAUAAACACGUGUCUGGAAAAAAUGUGUGGUUAGAUUUUUUGAGUAGUUUAAUUGCAGAGACAAGACAUAAAAAUUAGGAAAUAAAUUAAAAAAAAUAAAGAGAGAGAUUAUGAAUCAAUAGUGAAAUAAAUAAAUUAGUAAAAAAAAAGUGAAAUAAUGAAAUAAAUAAAAGUAACAAGAGUUAGGGGUGUUUCGGACUUUUCAUACAGAACAUGGUGUUUCUCGUCCUUUCCGUGACCGUGCCCUUUCCGUGCAUCUACGAGAGGAAAGUUUUUUAAUGUUGGUCCCACAAAAUUCUUUCUUUCCUUUGCCUCUUAACACUGUGUUUGGUUGAAGAGAAAUAGUGAAGAGAGAAGUAUUAAAGAGAGAAAAAGAAGAGAAAGUCUUGAUUUCUGUCGUUUGAAAUGAAGAGAAACUGAGGAGAGAGAGAGAGAGAGAGAGAGAGAGAGAGUUUUUUUCAUGGGUCCCAGACCUUUUUCUGGUCUUCUCUAUCCAGCGAAAAAAGGAGGUGGAGAUGCCCAUGUUUUUUGAAAUUUCAUUUUUAUCCUUUUCUCAAUAAAACCGCCACGGAAGAAGAAAAGGUUUGGGCCUUUGUUUUUUUAUUAGUUUUACUUUUUCUGAAGGAAAUGUCUUUGUUUUUUUAGUUGAUUUGUGAAAUUAAAUCCUUAUCAAAUUAAGUUAAUUCAGGAAAAAUAAUUAAGUGUUAUCACUACUGCAAAUAUAAUGUCUGCACACAAAUUAUUUUAGAGAAAACUAAUAGAUUUAAUUACUUAAUUUCCUUAAAUUAAUAUAAUUAAUUAACUAAAAAUAAUUAUUUAAUUCAUAAAUUAAUAAAGAACAAAUUAAAAAUGAAAUUAAUUUUAUAAGUCUUUUUUAGUUUAGGGGUAUAUUUGUAUUUUUGAAAACAAUCAACACUUCUUUCUCUUGAUUUCUCUUCUAUCUCUCUCAUACCAAACAACCUAUCAAAUCUACUCUAUUUCUCACAUAUUUCUUUUUCACCAUACUCUUUCUCACCUAUUUCUCUCUUAUCACUUUCUCUCCACAACCAAACACACCUUAAGUGAGUUCCAAACGAAAGAAAGUGUUUCUUUCUCUCAACUUUCUCUCCUUCUCACAAACUUUCCAUAGAAACAAACAUGGCCUUAAUGAAACCUUUUUUUAAGUUAAUAAAAACGGUACUUAAUUAUUAAGGACCACCACCUAUUAAGUAUGACACAUAAAUAUUUGGGUGCCAUAGUUUUUUAGUGCCAUUGGUGACAUAGUUCAUUUUAGAUGAAAGAGAAUGAUUAAAAUAAAUUAUUUAGAUGAGAGAGAAUGAGUUGUUAAGAGAGAGAUAGACACAAAGUUACCUAUGGCACCAAUGGCACCAAAAAACUAUGGCACCCAAGUGCUACCCGUUGGUGAAAUAUAAUAAUAUAUACUCCAUUCGUCUUGGAUUAACUGAGUCAUUUGCUCAUUUCAUAUAUAUUAAGAAAAAUAUAUAAAUGAAGGAGAGAGAAAAACUGUUUUGUUGUUAGUUAUUGGUGCAUUCUCCACUAUCAUAAAUACAAAGUAGAAUAUAUUGAAUUUGGAGUGAUAAAAGUAGUGUUAAUUAGAGUUAUAAAGGAAAAAAAAUAAAAUGACUCAUAUGUUGAGACACUUUUUUUGCAAAUAACUCGGUUAUUAUGAGACGGAUGAAAUAGUUAUUGGCGGAUCCAUUUAUAAAAUUUGAUUAAAGUAUUAAGUUGGAGGAAGUGAAUGUUUUCCUUUAAAAUAUUAUGAAUGAAUGAUGUGUAGUAAUCACUCCAUCACAAAUUAUAAGUCACUUUUAAAAAAUUUAAUUCUUAAAAUAAUAAUUGGUUUUGAAAAAAAAAUUAUCUUAAAUUAUAAGCCACUUUACAAUACCCAUAAAAUAUUUCCUUAAAAAAAUACCCAUAAAAUAUUAAUGUUUCUUUUCCUUUUAUACACUUAACUAUUUACUACUCUCUAUCUCUUUAAUUCUUUAAUUUAUCUUUUAAGUUAUCAUUUUUUUAAGGAUACCAAUAGAUUCUCUAAGAAAAUUAAAUAAAUUCUUCUAUCUUAACUCUUAAGUUUUUGCAUGUAAUGUAUGACAUAAUUAUACUCCGGCAUUUUUCUAUGUGCUAUACUUUUCGUCUUAGAAAUUUCUUUGGUCAAAUAAAACGAUAUAAUAUCUUGCUAACUUUUCCUUUCACAUUUCUACUAUAAUUUUCUUUUCUUUUUUCCUCGUAUUUUCCUUUUACAACUUACAUAUUUUUCAACUCAAUAAUAAUUUCAUAAAAGAAGAAUAACAAAGGUAACAUCAUCUUCAAUGAAAAAAAGGUCGUUGACUAUUAUUGUCUUCGAGAGAUUGUCGAUAAAAUUCUCUAUCAAUCAUUGAUUAUUAUUACGUCAUUACGUCAUAUCACACGAACGUAGUUUCCAAUGUUCUUGCGCAGAACUUCAUAAAACUUUUCGUGGAAACAAGGUCGAUUGAUUGAAGAAAAAUAGGAGGUUGACUAUAAAUUAUAAAUUACUGGGAAAUGUUAACGAGUGCCUUCGAGACACUUUUAAGAUCCAUAAAUAGUAAAUAUUUUUAAAAAUACAUGUAAUUAUUGUUUAGAAAUUGAAAUAUUUAAUUUUAUUAAAGAGUAAUUGCUUAUUUUAAAAUGCUUAAAGAGUGCAUUGGGGACACUCGUUAAUAAGACCAUAAAUUAUACAGGUGUAUAUAAAUAUAAAAGGUAAAGCUACAGGUAAAUAAGACUCAAAAGCCAACAGCAUAUAAUUAGCAUUGUUUAUGAAUAUGAUAAUAACAUUGUUUCUGAUGGAGGGGGUCAUCAUGUAGGGGGUCAUCAUGGACAUGUUCAUCAUGGAGGGGGUUAUCAUGGAGGGGGUCAUCAUGGAGGUGGUGGUGGAGGUGGCGGCGGAGGGUGUUGAGAAGACGGUGGAGGCUUCUGAUAUAUAGUUGGCGGUAUUUUGUUGGAUUGUAUUUACUUAGUUGACAUGCCACUUUAAUUAUACCUCUUUAUCUUAUGUGAAAUAAAUCGUGUAGUACUUCUAUUCAAAUUCAUGUUAUACUAUCAUAUUUUUAUAAGUUUCUAAAUUUGGAUAGUGAAUAUAUGCUUUAGUAUGUUGUAUUUUUUGAAUAAAAUUUGUGUUUUGCCAUUUGAUUAGAUUAAAAUUGAAUUCAAAUAUCUGCUUUUAGCAAAAUGAUGGUGGGUUGGUAGGGCCACACAAAUCAGUAUGCAAGAUUUGUAGUGGUUUAAGUGCUCUUGAUGCCAUUAUGAUAUCAAGUAGUACAAAGGAUUAUUUGUAGGUACAUUAGGAGAACUCUAGAAUUAUUUCUAGGAUUUUCCUAAUUAUAAUUCACUUCUAGAUAAUUUCCACAUAUAUAUUUUUUAAUUAAAACAUAUAAUUUUUCCCUAAUUUUUCCUUUUAGAUUUCCCUUAUAAUUUUUACUGAAUAUAAUUAUUUGAGAAAAUUAUAUUGACCUCCCUUAAAUUUUUCUUAAAUAACACAUACAUCUACUCUAGUUUUUAAAAAAACAUAAUAACCUUCCUUCAUUUUAACAAUGUCAAACUUCUCUUGGAUAGGGAAAUGAUGAGAAAAGUUAUAUUUUACCAUUUUUGUAACUAUAUAUAUGUCUAAGGAUUCUCAAGAUCUGAACCAAAUAAAAUUCAAAAAGAAAACCAAAUUUAGUUUCGUAGCUGAUGCAAAUUGCAAAAGGUCAUAGCAUCAAAUAUAUAUAUUAACAAAAUUCAUUUUGAAAAAUUGUCAAACUCUUGUUUCUGCGUUGUGCUUUUCUCGGUUCUAUGAGGUGCUUCGUGCACAAACAAUGUAUAGCAGAUUGUGUCAUCUUCUAGCAUGGUUGUUCUUGCAUUGUGUAUUUAAUAGUUAGAUUUUAUUUAAAAUAUAAUAAAAUUUGAAACCCUAUUCGAAUAGAAUAUUUACAGAAUCCAUAAAAUAAACUAAUUUGAAAUUUAAGAGCAAAAACUAUUCCAAUUUUUUUUGAUAAUUUAUUAUUAAUUUUUUUUUUGUUAUUAUAAGAAAUUGGCAAUCGACAAGUUUGUGGUAAAACCAUAAAUGAUUCAAUGUCAUAUGCAACAACAUAAUUAACAAACGUAACAUCAUUAGCGAUCUAACUAUAAAUAAAAAAUAUAUAAUUAGCAGAAUCAAGCAAACAAUGUCGCUAGUAUAAAUCCAACAACAUUGAACAAAUCUCAAAAUAAAUCCCCCAUCAUACAAAAAACCAACCAACAUUCAAAGAAAUUGCAAAAUAAAUUGUCACUUUGGGUCACCUAUUAUUACUAACUAAUAUAGUAAUAUUUUUUUCUUUUGAAGAGCCCACAUGCCAACCUACUUGCCCCAUUUUUACGACAAGCUAAACGGGGUGGAUCUAUUUUGCCACCCCUAUUAACAUUAUAGGCGGGGGUUAUUUAUCAGAAGAAAAGAGAGGAACUUAGACUGCAAUGACGAAAGAUAAAAAUGCUUAAUAAUAAGGUAAAAGAGUUCAUAGUAGUCUGAGUGAAAGUGAGGAAAGUUAAAAGAAACAAUGUGUGUCAUUUUUCCUUUUUUGUGUGUGAAAAAAGUGAAAAAAAAUUGUUCUACAUUACAUAUUUUUUUAAAUAAAAAUGAUAAUAUUGAAAUAGGGGUUUGGCCGGCCCCACAUAGCCCAUUAAUUUUUGGGUUGAACUCAAUUUUUACAUGAAAGCUGCUCAAUAGGUCAACAAAAUGCUCACAUCACAUGCCCCUCGAAAUUCCAAAAAAAAAAAAAAAAAAAACUCUCAGGUUCUAACUUCCAAUCGCUCUAGUUUAAGAGGUAAGACUCGAUCUCCAUCAAUUCCAUUUAACCUUGGAUUGAAAGUUACGACCUGAGAUCAGAUCGGGAGUUAGGAUUUGAUCCAUUCAUGCUUUAGACUUAGACAUAAUUUACACUACCAAACACAUAAUUCAUCAACCAUUCAUAUUUUCAAGAACAAUUAACAACACUCAUAAUCGAACAAUAAUUUCUAACAAUCAUAAUUCAACAAUACACAAAAACUUACAAUUCAACAACGAUAAAUCAACAUUAAUAUGAUUUAGAAACAAGAUGUUCAACCAUAACUAUAAAUAAAGCAUAAAACAAAAUUAAAAACAAAAUUAUAAUUUAGAAACAUCAAAAUAUUACAUUGAAAUUGAAGGAAUCAAUGUGCUAAAUAGUUUUGGAGUUCAGACCCGAUACAGGUUCAAGUCUUAACUCUUGAUAAAUAACAAUUCAGGUUUAAAAAAAAAAAUACAAAACAAGAAUGUAAUCAAUUUAAAAGAUGUAAUUCGUAUUCUUUGACGCCGGAUGAGUGAAGAAAUCAUUUAGCAAUUAUGUAAUGAUGAUUAGAGUCUAGGGAGGUUGUGUAGUACAUGCUUGGUUGCUUGAUAUAUAACUAGAAGCAAUUUGGGUCAUAACCUCAAAACUUGAGCGAGCGGGAGUUAUUAUAACCAAGAGAUCAUAUUGUAACUUCCAAAACAGGUAAUUUUUUGGGUUUUGAGGGGUGUAUGAGCAAAUAAAGGGGCCUAUUGAGCAAUUUUUUACAUCCCUUAUAAGAAGUAAUUGGUCCAUUCCAUCCCAUUUAUAUGUGUGCUAGGGCUAGGCCGAGUUAGCCCAAUAGCAACUCUCGGGGUGUGAGAGUGUUAUUUAAAAAGACAAUGGAGGAGAUUAAUUUAUUUUUCUCAAAAACAAUUAAGACUUAAAUAUGCAAAUGAUCUUUGCAAAUUUCAAGCUUUUUGGUUUUAGUCUUGUAUUUUUUUUUCCUUCAAUCCUGCAUAUAUAUAUAUAUAUAUAUAUAUAUAUAUAUGAUCUUUUGUUUUGGUUUUUGGAGUUUUUUAUUAGUCUCUGUAGAAUUUAUUCAUAUUAAAAUUGAUACAUAUAAUAUUCAUUUUAGUCCUUAUUUUUAAGGGAUUAAAAUCAAAUAUUUUACAUAUUACAAUGACCAAAUCCAAUAUAAAUCAAUUUUGCAAGGACUAGCUCUAAAAAUAUAUUUUUACUGGACUAUUUGCAUAUUUAAGUCAACAAUUAAACUUCUAUUUUUGCUUUAACCCUCUAGUUUCCGGGGGAAAGGGGCCCUAUAAUCAAAUUCAAGUUCUUCAGCCGAACAAACUUGGGUUUAAUUAUUUCAUCUAAGAAUCAAACUCGAGUUCUCCAGAACGAUUAGUCAUUGAAGAAACUCACUAACCGCUUGAGCUCAAUUGCUUGGUUAAAAACUUAUUAUUUUUUAAUCAACAACUAAACAUGAUUCCCCCUUUGCAAAAAAAAAAAAAAAAAAAGAAUUUACUUCCCCUCUCAAAAAACUAAAUUUAUUUUCGGAGAUAAUAGUCAUUUUUAUCUCUGAAUGUAUAACGAGUAGUCAUAAUAGUUCGUCAAUGUAUAAAAAAAGUCAUAUUUAAGCCAACCACCUCGCCCAAUCAUCACUUGUCACAUGGUCAUCACGUCGCUAAUGACAUCCCACCUUAGCAAAAAAAACCUAAUUAGGACCAAAAGUCAAAUGAUUAAUAUUUGCAGUGGCAGAUUGGAAGAAUUAGUAAAUUCAUGACGAUAAUUCAAAUAACAUAUAUUUGCAGGGAGACGAAAGAGAUAUUUAAGCCAAAUGACCAUUACCCUUUAAUUUAGUAAACAAAAGAAAGAAAAAAAACCAAAUAUAAUUGUUUUGGAUUUAAAUUGUGAAUAAAUUCAAACCAAUCAAACUCUUCCCAAAAUCUAUGAGUCAAGAACUACGGUGGUUACAUUUUCAUAAUCACGAGAAUUCUCAUUGACAAAAAUUGACCUGGUAAGGAUAACUUUUUUUCAUUACUUUCAAUAUGCUCCGAAAAAUUUGUUAAGAGAAUCAUGCAAUGAUCCACCUUUUAUGCCGAACCUUUUGCUUUAUUUCACAUUUAUAUUUAUCUUCAACAAUUUUACUAUGCAACAUUUAUAGCAAAAUUAUCUCAAGAAGGGUGUGUAUUAUUUGUUCAAAGUAAAUUAUUUUCAUUCUUGUUUUUUAUCUUUAGAUUAAUUAUUGUUUUUUGUAUCUUGAUUUGAAAUUUAUGUAGGAGAAGAUGGAAAAAGAAAAUAUACAUGGUCCUCAACAUUUUGAUCUGAAUACUGGUGCAAAUAUACCAUCAGUUGGUCUUGGAACAUGGAAAGCUUCUCCUGGUGUUGUUGGUGAUGCUGUUGUUGCUGCAGUCAAGGUGCUUUCUCUGCUUUUUGUUUCUUAAUUUCUUGGUUUCUUUAUAUGAAGCACAUAUACGGACACUGAUACGCCGACACCGCUAAUAAUUUGAGAAAAUCACAUAUUUCAGUGUAAUUACAUGUUUCAGUGUCAGACACGCACGUGUCCAACACAGGGACACGUUUAAUCGGAGGAGUGUCUGUGACUCUGUGUUUCAUACAUUUCUUUUGAAUUUGUUGUGUUAAUCUAUGAAACAUUGACGCAGACACGCGGAUGCUGUUAAUAAUUUAAUAAACUAAAGUAUUCAAAUGUAACUACAUGUGCUGUUGUAUCGGUGCAUUGACACAUGUUGGACAUCAGUCACGUCUUCAAUCUGAAGUAUCAGUGCUAUGCUAGGUGCUAAUUUGUGUUUUGAAUGUAUUGUCUCAAUGCUUUGUUCAGGCUGGCUACAGACAUAUCGAUUGUGCUCGGGUAUAUGAUAAUGAAAAAGAGGUAACCAAAAUUAUAAAGUUUAUUUGAAAUAAAUAGUUUUGUAUACUAAUAUUCUAGGUGGUCAAGAAAAAAUUGUUUUUAUUGUUCUGGUUUUCUUGAUGCUAGGAAAAAUGUAUUUGCUGCAGAUAGGCGAGGCGUUGAAGACACUGUUUUCUGCUGGGGUUGUACAGCGUGGUGAAAUGUUCAUCACAUCAAAGCUAUGGUAUGUGUUUGGACUAAUAAUUCUUAUUAUGAUAAAAGAUAAUUGACCUUUUUUUUUCUUCUUUCUGAAUCAAGCUUUUGAUGUAUAUGAGAGUGUGUGAUAUGUAGUAUUUCAUUUAUUAGUUGAUUAUAAAAUAUGAGUAUGUAGAAGAGGAUGAAAAGUGGAUCUGAAGAUUAGGGUGUUGCCAGAUUGAGCCUUCUGUAAACGAAUUAGUUGCUAAAAACUAUACAAUGGUCACCAAAUUCCUCCAGGAAAAGGAAUAAAUUGGUGAUAUAAAAGGACUAGUUUGUUGACAAUUUUAUGUAUACUGGGACUAAGGGGUCAUGGCUCAAAUAUUUAGAAGACACAUAUGAUGACAUUAUAACAUUGAGGGACUGAUUUUGCUACAAAACUCCACAUAUGAUGACAUUAUAACAUUGUAAUGAAUUGUCUUCAUAUAUGGCUUGCCUUUUUUUAAUUUAUCCAUACAGGAUUAGUGACUGUGCACCUGAAGAUGUCUCGAAGGCACUGGCUAGGACUCUAGAAGACCUGCAGCUUGACUACAUCGAUUUAUAUCUGGUACGGUUCUUGAUUUUAAACCCGUUUUCAAUCCUGAUGCAGAGACUGAAGAUGGUUGUAUGAAAAAUUGAUGUUUUCUUGGUAAAUUAUUUUGUCACAGAUACACUGGCCGUUUAGGACGAAGUCGGGAUCAAGGGGUUGGGACCCUGAGGUCAUGGUUCCCUUAUGUCUUUCAGAGACAUGGAAUGCAAUGGAAGGUUUAUUCGCCUCAGGUCAAGCACGUGCGAUUGGUGUCAGCAACUUUUCAACUAAGAAGCUUCAAGACUUACUCGGAUAUGCUAAGAUUCCGCCAGCAGUUAACCAAGUUGAAUGCCAUCCUGUUUGGCAACAACCAGCUCUUCAUAAUUUGUGCAAUUCUACUGGUGUUCAUCUCACGGUAAUACCCUGACUAAGAUUGAUAUAGUAUAGUCCGAACGAGUUUUGGUCUUUAAUAGAUCAAAUUUUAAUAACAGUUGAUAUAGUAUACAGAAUUUAAUCUGUAUGCAUCAUAAGUGAAAAAAUAUUUAUUACAUUUAUUGAGUAUUGUCAUUACAAAAACUCAUUAAAUGACAUGACAACAUACCAUUGAAUACAUGUAUAAAUUGAAUUCUAUUCAGUGCUGCAAAUAGCACUAUAGGCAUAGGAGGAUUUAAACAAAUUGCUAUUGUUCUGUAAUAUGCUAGUUCUUACAAAGUGUUGUCAAAUAAUAGUUAUAGCAGUACUAUCUAUAGCACUGUAGCAUAGUGGCAACCCUUUAUUUUUCUUAAUCUGCGAUUGAGAAUACUGAUUCUGUUGUAAUAUUUUAUAUGAAUUUUGAUAGAGUUUGUCUAUCAUAACCAAAACUUAUCUAGACCAUACUAUACAUGUCCAUCUGAGUAAUUUAAAUGAUAUUUUUUGGUCCUGCAUUUAUGUAUUUGAGGUUCUUUUUUGCUUACAUUUUGUUAACAACAAAUGCUUCCUUAUAGGCAUAUUCUCCUCUCGGUUCUCCAGGAUCAUGGGUUAAGGGAGAAAUCUUGAAGGAACCAAUUUUGAUUGAAAUUGCUGAAAAACUUAACAAGUCUCCGGCACAAGUGGCUCUAAGGUGGGGUAUCCAAAGUGGUCACAGUGUCCUUCCAAAGAGUGUAAAUGAAUCUAGGAUCAAAGAGAAUCUUAGCUUAUUUGAUUGGUGUAUCCCUCCAGAACUCUUCUCAAAAUUCUCACAGAUUCACCAGGUUUGAUCAUUGCCUUUGUUGAAACUUGAAAACAUAAAAACUAAUCAUUCUUUCCCACAUCUAUGCAUAAUUUUUUUAUUCUUCUUCAGUUUAAUCAUUUAUUUUGUUGUAUAAUGCAGCAAAGGCUACUUAGAGGGGACUUUGCAGUCCAUGAAAGUUGUAGUCCAUACAAAAGUCUUGAAGAUUUGUGGGAUGGAGAAAUAUGAAAUGGAGAUAAUUUGCAUUGCUAUUUUGACUAAAGAUAUGUUCAUUUCUCUUCGUGAGGGAUUUAUGUGAAUACUGAAUAGGUAGAUAUAUUAGCCGAAGAAAACAUUUAUAAUUUCGUUAUGAUGAGGCCUUCAUUUAAGAUAGUUUCUCAAUCCGCCCCCACAUAUGCUCAAAUAUGCCAAAAUACACUACCGGAAACAUGCUUCCUGUAAGCCCUGGCGUUUUUGGGUGGACGGAUUGAGAAAUUAUGUUCGUUUAAUCAUUUUCCUUUAAUCCAUGAAUUUGUUGUUUCAUCGGAAGAAAAGCGGAUAGAAAACAACUGAUCAAUAAACUAGAGAUAACUGAGAAAUAACAGAUUUUUUUUACAACAUACUUAAUACCAUUGAACAAAUUCUAUUAGUAUUUUUUUUCUUUUGAAAAGCUUCCAAGAUCCAAUGUGAAGAGAACUUUUCCAAUGACCAUUUUUUGAAGUUGCCAUGUAUUUUCACCAGAGUAUGAUUUGGGUUUGGUUUGAAUUCUUACCAAACAUUCUAGAAGUAUAACAUGGGAGUUGGCAACUAUUGUUUCAGCAGUAAUAUAUGGUUAGUAUACUUUUGUGAAAAUAUUUCAUAUUUUUUCCCCCUAAAAUUUAUGUUGGUUUUACAUUUUUUUUUUUGGGUAGAAGUUAGUGUUUUUCUUUAUCAAAGAGAAAAUAAAUUUGACGAUGGACGUAUUGGACAACCAUUUUUUAAAAAUGCAAGAACAAAAUGUUUGGGGAUUAAGCAGAGACAUAUGAUAUGGUAUUUGGGUUAAGUGGUGGCCUACCUCUAAUUGGGAAAAAAGCCUUUGAAAUACCGACUUCAUGAUUUGUCAACUCAAUUACAACCCUAUUGUAACAAGUUGCAACAGUGUGAUUCAUGUCCGGUACUGUCAACCACUUAUCUCAUAUGCAAUUCCAUUACUAUUUUCGGGAGGGUACACAACAUUCAAGAUAUAGUUAAAAUGCUCCUUACUCCCAAAUACCCACAUGUAGUCACUCCUAUGAUCUUUCACCUCUUGUAUAAGUGCUAUGCGAAUCACAGUCAAAUCCAUAAGCAUAGCCUGAAAUCCAGAAUCGUAUCGUUUGUAACAUCCAAUUUUUUUCUUCAGUAAAUGGUUUCAUGAAUUUUCGCAUAUGAUCAAUAGGCGUUGGAACCAGAAUAAGCUUUAGAACUCGAGUAGAAAAUGAAACUGGAGAACAUGAUGGAUUGUCAAUACGAGCACCUUUUCUUUUAGGAAAUGAUGACUUUGUUGAUGACGAUUGACUAUCGGGAAAUCGAGAAUCAACACGCUCCCACAAAGAUGAGAUUCGACUAGUCAAAGCCUCUUUUCGUGUAGAUCUCACUCUUUCCUUGGCCCCCUUGGUUGGUACCUUUCUUGUAGAAGGAGUAAACAUUGUCAUUUCUGGAAAUGCUAAUUGCUGCAUAACCUCCUUGAUUUGUAGUUUCAUUUUGUAAUGGACUUUUUGAGAUGUUCCUCAAUACCAUUCCACUCAUCCAUCACAGAAAGAUCAUCUUCACCUUCCUCUUUACCCAUACAUAACCUUUGCUAGUGAGAGUUCAUAUCAUCCAAUCAAAUAGGCUUGUUGUGUCUGAUCUUCAUAACAAUAAUACAUGCACAAGGUAGCUCAUACGAUGUCUCGAUCACACAACCACACUUUUCUUUAUCCAUUCCAGUUUUCUUGGAGCAUUUUGCUUCCUCAAAAAUAAAGCUCAAGCCAGCUCUAGAAACAUAACCCUCCAACUCAUAGUACAAUAUGUUGUCUUUGUAUAUAUGUUCUAUGACAAUACAACUCCUCCCGAAGGAUGCUUGUAUCUCAGUUAAUUCCCCAUCCAACAUAUCGCGUAUUACCUCCCAACAUGUAGCUAAAAUAUUUCUUCAAUUUUUCACGAGCACCUUCAACUCUGUUGGUGGUUCUAUAGUCAAGAUGCAAGGCACGGUAUGUCCAUGCAAUCACUAGUUUUUUUUUUCUUUAACAAUAUUCUAUAUGGUAGUUUCAACAUAGGUAAGGAACCUUGAAAUUUUUUUACAAACAUCUACAGACUACACAACAACAUCAACAUUUGAUUCUUUUGAAGGAGACUCAACCGCAUUAUCCGAAGCUCUCAUGAUAUUGUUAACUAUCCCACCUGCCUUCACUUUAUUGACUUCCUUUUCUUUCUCAUCCACAUUCGCAACUUCAAGUUUGACUAUGCACUCUAUGAUGGAUUGAUCGUGCACCCUAUUUCACAACCUUAUCUUCAUAUGCAAUUCCAUUACUAUUUUUGAGAGGGUACACACCAUUCAAGAUAUAGUUAAAAUUCUCCUUACUCCUAAAUACACACAUGUAGUCACUCCUAUGAUCUUUCACCUCUUGUAUAAGUCAGUCAAACCCAUAAGCUUAGCUAUAGCUUGAAAUCAAGAAUUCGUAUCGCCUGUAGCAUCUAAAAUAAAAAAUAAAAAAUCAGUAAACGGUUUCAUGAAUUUUGACAUAUGAUCGAUAGGCGUUGUAACCAGAAUAGGAUUAAGAACACGAGUAGACAAUGAAACUGGAGAACAUGAUGGAUUGUUAAUACAGACACCUUUUCUUUUAGGAAAUGAUGACUUUGUUGGACGAUUGACUAUUGGGAAAUUGAGAAUCAACACACUCCCACAAAGAUGAGAUUCAACUAGUCAAAGCCUUUUUUGGUGUAGAUCUCACUAUUUUCUUGGCCCCCUUGGUUGGUACCUUUCUUACAGGUGGAGUAAACAUUGUCCUUUCUAGAAAUGCUAAUUGCCGCAUAACCUUCUUGAUUUGUAUUUUCAUUUUGUAAGGGACUUUUUGAGAUGUUCCUCAAUACCAUUCCACUCAUCCAUCACAAAAAAAAAAANCCGCAUAACCUUCUUGAUUUGUAUUUUCAUUUUGUAAGGGACUUUUUGAGAUGUUCCUCAAUACCAUUCCACUCAUCCAUCACAAAAAAAAAAAAAAAAAAAUCAUCUUUUGAGAUGUUCCUCAAUACCAUUCCACUCAUCCAUCACAAAAAUAUCAUCUUCACAUUCUUCUUCACCCAUACAUAACCUUUGCUAGUGAUGGUUUAUAUCAUCCAAUCGAAGAGGCUUGUUGUGUCUGAUCUUCAUAACAAUAAUACAUGCACAAGGUAGCCCAUACGAUGUCCUAAUCAAGUUAGCUCUAGAAACAUAACCCUCCAACUUAUAGUACAAUAUGUUGUCUUUGUAUCUAUUUUCUAAGACAAUACAACUCCUCCCAAAGGAUUCUCUUAUCUCAGUUAACUCCCCCUCCAACAUAUCGUGUAUUACCUCCCAACAUGUAGCAAAAUCUCUUGCUCCAUUACUCAAAUAUUUCUUCAAUUUUUCAUUAGCACCUUCAACUCUGAUGUUGGUUAUAUAACCAAGACGCAUGACAUUUUUACAGACAUCUCGAAACUACACAACAACAUCAACAUAUGAUUCUUUUGAAGGAGACUCAACCACAUUAUCCGAAGCUCUCAUGAUAUUGUUAACUAUCCCACUUGCCUUUACCUCAUUGACUUCCUUUUCUUACUCAUCCACUUUUGCAACCUUGUGUUUGACCAUGCACUCUCUGACGGAUUCACCUCUAACAUUUUUACCAACAUGAAAAUUACAAAUUAAUGGAGUAGUUUUAGUGAAAAUAGUUGCAACAACAUUCAUCAAAGAGGUAUCCAUGUGAGUCACAAUUACCGUUACAUAUCUUCCUUUGGCUUAAGAAGAUGAAGCAACGCCUGUAAAACUCAAGUGAAGUUAUCUUCUUUCUUAGACGUCAGAAAAGCAAAAGCAACAUAAUAUAUAUUAUAUCGGUUCAGGAGACCCCUACUAUCUCAAACAAUGAGAUUAUAUAGGUUGAGUCCAUGAUCAAAAUAGUCGAAAAAUUGUUAAGCAUCUUAAUAGAUUCAGGAUGAGCCCGAAAUAUCUCCUAAACAGUAAUAGCCUCACAUUUUGUUAUGGUGAAAUAAACAUAUUUGUGCUCCUCAAACUUUGCGACCAAUGUUGAAUCAUUGCCAACUGAGCUAAGCUCUCGGAGAGAAAUUUAAAUCAUUUUUUUUUGGGUCAAAUAGCCUAGUGGCUAGAUUUACACACAUUAUGUGUGGAGAAGUGGGGAAUCGGGGUUUGAACCCCAACCCCUGCACAAAUUAUCCUUGAUAGCUAUCAACUGAGCUACACUUAGCAUAUGAAAUGAAUAAUAUAUUUAAUUCAUUAAAUGCUAAGCAUGACAUUAAUAAUCAUCACAAACUCAAAAGCACUAGCGAGGAUUGGACCCAAUUUUUUUAUUUAUUUUUGGUCGGGGUUUGAACCCCGGACUUUGCAUAUUUUAUGCAUUGUUCAUACCAACUGAGUUAAACUCACGAGGACCAAAACUUUUAUUUAUAACAUCACAAAAAUAUUAUACAUCUUCCUAAAAAAAAAAAUUAUUAUACAUCUUAUUUAAUUUUUUUCUUUCAAACUAAUAUGAAUAUUUAGAAUCUUAAAAUAGGCUGACCAUUUUUUUAAGACCUCAUCGUUAGAUAUCAUUAAAAUAUUUGAUUUUAUGAAAUUAUUAGUUGAGUUUUUUAAAUAGUGAUAAAAUAAGAGUAUUUUAAAAUAUUUGUUUGGUCCUUUAAAAAAAAGGAGUAUUUUAGUACAAAUAUAUAUUAAUUAAAUUAUUCUUAAAAAAUACACUAAUCUUUAGUCAAUUCUUAAAAAAAAAAACUAAUCUUUAGUCAAACUUAGCAGUUUUAAUAUAUAUAUAUAUAUAUUUUCUUUUAAAAAAUUAUCGCAUUUAAACUUGCAACAUAUAUAUAUAUAUAUAUAUAUAUAUAUAUAUAUAUAUAUAUAUAUAUAUAUAUAUAUAUUUGUGGUUGNNNNNNNNNNNNNNNNNNNNNNNNNNNNNNNNNNNNNNNNNNNNNNNNNNNNNNNNNNNNNNNNNNNNNNNNNNNNNNNNNNNNNNNNNNNNNNNNNNNNGGAUCCGAGGUUCACUUCUAGGUUCUGGAAGAGUUUACAGGACGCUUUGGGUUCGAAGUUGAGACUGAGUUCGGCUUAUCAUCCUCAGACAGAUGGUCAGUCGGAGAGGACGAUCCAAUCAUUGGAAGACUUGUUGAGAGUGUGUGUUCUUGAACAGGGUGGAGCUUGGGAUAGUCACCUACCAUUGAUAGAGUUCACCUACAACAACAGUUAUCAUUCGAGUAUAGGAAUGGCACCAUUCGAAGCUUUGUAUGGUCGAAGGUGCAGAACUCCGUUGUGUUGGUUUGAGUCGGGAGAAAGUGUUGUGUUGGGACCGGAUUUGGUCCAGGAGACUACAGAAAAAGUCAAGCUGAUCAGGGAGAAGAUGAAAGCGUCACAGAGUCGACAGAAGAGUUACCAUGACAAGCGGAGAAAGGCCCUUGAGUUUCAAGAGGGUGAUCAUGUAUUUCUAAGAGUGACUCCGAUGACGGGUGUAGGACGUGCUUUGAAAUCGAGGAAGUUGACUCCGAAAUUCAUUGGUCCGUAUCAGAUUUCAGAGAGGAUCGGAACGAUGACAUAUAGAGUUGGCUUGCCACCACAUCUAUCGAACUUGCAUGAUGUGUUUCACGUGUCACAACUUCGGAAGUAUGUAGCAGAUCCUUCGCAUGUUAUUCCGAGAGAUGAUGUGCAGGUUAGGGACAAUCUCACAGUUGAGACCUUGCCGUUGAGGAUCGAUGAUCGGAAAGUAAAGGCAUUGAGGGGCAAGGAAACACCCUUGGUGAGAAUCGUUUGGGGCGGAGCAACUGGUGAAAGUUUGACUUGGGAGCUGGAAAGUAAGAUGAGGGACUCUUAUCCUGAGUUGUUUGUUUGAGGUAAGAUUUCGAGGACGAAAUUCAGUAAUUUGGGGAGAGUUGUAACACUCUAACUUUUAUUUAAUUAUUUUUAAGUGUGUGGUGUUAUUUAUUUGGUUUGGUGAGUUAUGUGGUGUGUAUAUAUAUAUAUAUAUAUAUUAUAUGAUUAUUUUAUUAAAUAAUAAGAAUAAGUGGAAAAUAUGAUUAAUUAGAAUUUGGGGGUUAUGAAAUAAUUAGUAUAGUUAGUGGGAGUUAAUUGCUAAUUAAGGGAGUUACACUUUGGAAAUUAAGGAAAGAAAAACAGAGAAAAACGUUUUACGUGAAAACAGUCAAGUUUUGGGGAGAAAAGCUAGUGCAAGGGAGAGGAGCUUAUGAACCAUUUUCUGCUGUGUUUAUUCUGCAAUUCUAAGGUAAGGGUGAGGUUUACCGCAAUCUUAUAGGUUCUGAAUUCUGAUUUUGUUCUAACAGGUUUAUGUGAGAAUUGGGAGAAGUUAGGUUUUUGUUGAUUAAUGGGUUCUGAGUGUAGGAAUCGUUGAAUUGGGGUUAGAAAUGGGUUCUGAGUGCAUAAAACCUUUCAUUGCAUAUCUGUAAACUAAUUUGGGGAGUGAAUUGAGGAAAAAUGGGAUUUUUUGGGAAAAACCUGCAUUCUGCCCGUACAGAAGUUCAUCGCUCGCCUCGCGAGUAGCCAUUGCUCGCCAUAGCGAGUGAACAACUUCAUCGCUCGCCUCGCGAGUGAUACAACUCGCCAUGGCGAGUAGCCUUGUGAAAAUCUGGAUUUUUAAAGUGUUGUUAUAAGCCAUAACUUGGGUAGUACUAUGUACCUAGAUGAUUAUCAGGAUGACUGGAGCAAGUUUUAGGUUAAAAAAAAUAAAUAGGGAGCUUAGAAUGGUUGAUUUAGUGAGAAAAAUGUCAUUUUUCCCGAGAGUAUCAUAUUUCUGUUCGCCUCGAGUUCGCCUCCAACUCGCCAUGGCGAGUACUUGAUUUUCUGAGCUCGCCAUAGCGAGCAGAUGUGCUCGCGAGGCGAGCUGUCCAGUAUUUUGUUGGUUGAUUUCUGUUGUUGUUUUGGAUGGUUUAUUUCGUUGAAUUAUUGCAUGGUUUGUAUGCUGAUAUAUCUUUCCCUGGAUGUCCUGGUUGGUUGUGAUGAUUAGAUGUGGACUGAAUGUAUGUCUUAUUUAAUUAAAAUUCCCUUAAUGUUGUAAGUUGGAUGGUGAAUCAUAUAUAUAUGUAUAUGUUUAGGUUGGUUGGUAUGUGGAUAUACUCAAGGGGAUUAGUUGCAUAAACAUAAAAGUGAGAGAGCUUCGGCUCUGGAAUGCUUAGUCGUUCAAAGUGGUGGAGUACUAGUUACUCAAAGUGGUGUAGUGGUGAGGACUUAUGUCCUGAUGAGAAUGCUUUAACCAUUCGACAGCGGUGUGGGUCACGGCCCUGAUUUUUGGUACCACAUGCAUGGGUGUUUAGAGGAGUCUUAGUGGAGUGGUGAUAAGUUGCAUUUGUUGUUGAGAGGUUUAUGAAUUAAUAUUGUUGAUAAGAUGCGAAAAAUGAUGUUGUGUAAAUCAUAAUGUGGAUGAAUUAUAUGAUAGGGUGAUAGAUUCAAUUGAUGUAUUCUUUACCUAUAUUUUGUUGUGAAUCUCACCCCUUCUGCUUGAAAAUGUUGCCCUUCCUAUGGGUAACUUGCAGGUGAUCCUGAGUAGUUGGCGGUGGCUCAAUGUGUCUAGGACUCUGAUGCGUGGGAUGGGAUUUAUAGUUUAAAUUUCUACCUAUGUAUCAAAUUUUGGAACAAGUUAAUGUAGUCCAUGUUUAUUGUUGAAUUUUUAUGUUGAGGCCUAGUGCCAAGAUUAAUGUUGGAUAAUGGAGUUAAUUUUGAAGAAUAUUCCGCUGCAGUUUAAUGAAGUUUUAUGUUGGAUGUUGUUAAAUAGUUUUAAUCUAUUUAAGAAUUUACGUUUAGUAGUGUGACAUGCCGUUUGGUGUUGAACUCUGAUUUUAUAAUUAUAAUUAAAUUGAAUUUGGGAAACGGGGUGUUACAAUUGUGAUGCGUCCAAGUUGGGUUUAGGAGGUGUGCUUAUGCAAGAAGGUAAAGUGGUAGCUUAUGCUUCGAGACAGUUGAGAGUUCAUGAGAAGAAUUAUCCUACGCAUGAUCUUGAGUUGGCGGCUGUAGUCUUUGUAUUGAAGAUAUGGAGACAUUACCUGUAUGGUUCGAGAUUUGGGGUGUUUAGUGAUCACAAGAGUUUGAAAUAUUUGUUCGAUCAGAAGGAAUUGAACAUGAGGCAGCGUAGAUGGCUAGAGUUGCUGAAAGAUUAUGACUUUGGUUUGAAUCAUCAUCCGGGUAAAGCUAAUGAUGUUGCAGAUGCCUUGAGUAGGAAGACAUUGCAUAUGUCCGCCAUGAUGGUCAGAGAGUUCGAGUUACUUGAACAGUUCAGAGAUAUGAGUUUGGUUUGCGAAUGGUCACCUCAGAGUGUGAAACUGGGUAUGCUGAAGAUUGAUAGUGAAUUUCUGAAAAGUAUCAAGGAAGCACAGAAAGUAGAUGUGAAGUUUGUGGACUCGUCGGUUGCUAGAGAUCAGACUGAAGAUAGUGAUUUUAGAACCGAUGAUCAAGGUGUGUUGAGAUUCCGAGGAAGAAUAUGCAUUCCAGACAAUGAAGAGAUUAAGAAGAUGAUUCUUGAAGAGAGUCAUAGAAGUAGCUUGAGUAUUCACCCGGGAGCUACGAAGAUGUAUCAUGAUUUAAAGAAGAUUUUCUAGUGGUCUGGUUUGAAACGAGAUGUGGCGCAGUUUGUGUAUUCCUGUUUAGUUUGUCAGAAAUCGAAAGUCAAACAUCAGAAACCCGCUGGGAUGAUGGUACCUUUAGAUGUGCCAGAAUGGAAAUGGGAUAGUAUAUCGAUGGAUUUUGUGACGAGUUUGCCGAAUACUACGAGAGGGAACGACGCAAUUUGGGUUAUUGUUGAUAGAUUGACGAAGUCAGCUCAUUUUCUACCUAUUAAUAUUAGUUUCCCUGUUGCCAAAUUGGCAGAGAUUUACAUCAAGGAGAUUGUGAAGCUGCAUGGUGUUCCUUCGAGCAUUGUAUCAGAUAGAGAUCCAAGAUUUACUUCUAGAUUUUGGAAAAGUUUGCAAGAGGCCUUGGGGUCGAAGUUGAGAUUGAGUUCUGAUGAGUCAUUUAUUAUCUAUUUUAAUAUGUUAUUUAGUUUAGUUUUAUUUAGAUUUAGGUUUAUUUUAUAUUAAUAUUAUUUCCUUUCUUGAACUAUUUUACUACAAUUGCAUAUUGUUAUAUUUUAGGAACGAAUAUUUGAUUGAUUGAGUCUUGGAGCAAAAGAAAGGGAUUUGGAGUUGAUUCGGUACGAAAAUACGAAGAUUUGGAGACAAAAUAUAUCUCCCCCAAAAGUCAGAAGCUUGGCACGGCCCGUGCUAGGAUUGGCACGGCCGUGCCACCCUCCAGAAGACCUUUUGCUGCUUUUGCUUGGACUCCAAGCUAUUCUAUUUUGGCGCACAAUCUACCGAGGAAUAUUCUUGGAAUAUACUUGCUUAGAUUUUAAGUCAAUUGUGUACUAUAAAUAGAGUAGCUAGCCAUCACAAAUAUUCAUCUUUUCUUGGAAUACAAUAUGUGAUAAUUGUCUUUCUAAUAAAAGUUCAUUUUACUUUCUUUGUUAUUUACUUUUAUGUUUUCUCUCUUCUUCUCCUUGUCUACAAUGAACGUCAGUGAGUAGACUUCUCUUGUCUUGGGAUUGUUGGAUAAGUCUAAUGACAUAAUCCUAAUCAAACCAAGCUUUAAACCUUAAUCUUAUGUAACCCUAAUUCCUUAUCUAAAUUCACCGCUUUAACAUGGAUCAACCAUUAUCAAAAUGUGGAAACGAAAGUGGAGGGUUUGAUAAUUGUUUAUCCAUCAUCUCAAAUAUCAAUUCAUAAAACGAAAGUGGAGCUUUGAUAUUCGAACAAGUGAAUUUAGACAAGGAUUGCAAAGUCAGCGAAAUAGGCUUUGCAAUCUUUGAGACAUAUAGUUUCGAUCUUCAAGGGAACUAAUAACAAUCAAGUCAGCGAAAUAGGCUUGGUUGUUAGAGGAACCAAAAUCUAAUAGUAAUCAAGUCAGCGAAAUAGACUUGGUUGCUAGAGGAACAAAAGAGAAACUGUCUUGAGAAAUUAGGUCUAACAUAAAGUUAUAAGUUUAAUAGUUUGGUUUGUGAAGGACUUGUCAUUAGGAUGAACCAAUAAUUCCAAGGCUUUUAUCUUUUAUUUAUUAUUUACUUUUAAUUGAAAAACCCAAAACAUUUCUACCUUAUAAAACCUUCAUCUAAUCAUCAUUAAAAGUUAAUUGAAUUCAUAACUCCCUGUCGGAACGAUACUCUUAUUUUACUACUUCGGUAAGACCGUGCACUUGCGGUUUUAUCUCAUCAAGUUUUUGGCGCCGCUGCCGGGGAGUUAUUGUAAUUUUAUUAACUUUUCAAUAGUGUUUAGUCUAAAAAAAAAUAAAAUAAAAUAAAAAACAAAUUUAUAUAAGUAAAUAAAAUAUAUAUAUAUAUAUAUAUAAUAAAAAAAUAUUUUAUUUCUUUUUCUUAUCUUUUUUAUUUUUUAUAUAUUUAUCUAUCUCUCUCUCUAAAAAAAAAAUAUAUAUAUAUAUAUAAUAUAAAUAUAUAUAUAUAUAUAUAUAUAUAUAUAUAAAAUAGUAUAUAUACAUAUAUUUAUAAAAUAUUUUAUUUCCUUUUUCUUACCUUUUUAUUUUUUUUUGUUUUUUUUAUAUAUAUAUUUAUAAUAUAUUUUAUUUCCUUAUCUUAUUUUAUUUUUAUUAUAUAUAUAUAUAUAUAUAUCUCCCUCCCUUUCUCCUUAUUUUUUAUUUUCUAUCUUUAACCGUUUUGAUUACAGGCAUGGCUCAAAGACAAUAAUAACGACAUGGAUGAGAAACGUGCUCUCAAAGAGUAUGCAAUCACAUCUUCAGAUGAGCCGUACGAUGCUAUUGUGUACCCAACGGUUGAGGAUAGUAAAUUUGAAAUAAAGCCUGCACUUAUUUACCUAGUGCAGCAAAAUCAAUUUUUCGGAUCACCCACUGANNNNNNNNNNNNNNNNNNNNNNNNNNNNNNNNNNNNNNNNNNNNNNNNNNNNNNNNNNNNNNNNNNNNNNNNNNNNNNNNNNNNNNNNNNNNNNNNNNNNGGAUCCGAACCCCGAACCUUGCAUUUAUUAUGUAUUAUUCAUAUCAACUGAACUAAGUUCAAGAGGACACUUGCAACAUAUAUAAUAGUAGUUUAUGAAGUGUUGAUUUAGUGGUAGUUUCUUGAUUUUAUAAUUCUAAGAGAUGAAGUUCAAAUACUUUACAAGAUAAUGUUAAAAUAAUAUUAGUGUCACAAAUAUUAUUAAUAUUUUUUUUUUUAAAAAUUUAUCAUAUAUUAGUUUUUAUGUAAUUUUUCCAUUCCCUUAAAACAAUGUAUAAUUGACCCAAAAAAAAGAGCAUAAUUGACCCAUAAGUUCAAACUACAUUAAAUUAUAACAAUUUUUUUUGGUUUCAAAGCUAAUAAUAACAGAAAAGAAAACAAAGGCUAAAAGAAAAUUAAGCUCUUAGGAAGCAGGUUACCAUAGCAUCAAUUCUAAGCUUGUCUAUGAGAUCAAGAGGAGGAGUUUGGUGCUCCGUGAGGGUUGCAUUUGACGAGGCUCCGAGCUUGGCUAAAAAAUCUGCGCAAUGAUUUCCUUCUCUAAGAGUAUGAAAGAUUUCAAAGUGGUGGGAAGCUAUGAUAUCCUUGAUAUCUUGGAUUAUCACCGCAUAGACAUGGAAUUUAGAAACGUCUCCUGAAACAAGAUUUAUUGAAAGCUGAGAAUCCGAGUAGCAGACUAACUCCUCUAUUCCCAUGUUUACUGCCAUGCGAAAACCUUCCAGGAUUGCUGUCAGUUCAGCUUGGAGAAUGCAUAUUGAUGUCUGAAUAAACCCAGAAAACCCAUUGAGGUAGUGCCCUGCGCUGUUGCGAAUUAAUCCUCCAUAACCGGCGCGGAUUGGAGUGCCAAGACAGCUGCCAUCUACAUUGAGAAUGUGGCAGUUAAAUUUUCUGCUAUUCCAUGAAAUCCAGCGUUCAGGACCAGCUGUAAUGGCAGCAGAUUGAAAGCUCUUUUUGAUUAUUUCUGUUGAGUGCUGGAUGUUGAUACUCAAACGCGUGAGAGACCAGGCGUCGUUAUUGAAACACAUGUUGUUUCGGUGCAGCCAAAUCCACCAAAGAGAGGCCAGGAAGUUGAUGGACCUGCUGCUGUCAACGUUGCUCUUUAUCCACAAUUUUGCGCAGGUGAUGGAGAAGAAAUCCGAGUUUGAGAAAUUAAGCUUCUGCCAGAUGAUUUUCGAAAAUUUGCAGUCCCGAAUACAGUGCAUAAAGGAUUCAUCUUCUUCCCCGCAUCUGCUACAUGUUGCAGCCGCUACUAUGUUUCUAUGAUGAAGCACAUGAAGAGUAGGCACCGCGUCAUGCAUAGCUAGCCAAAUCAGAAAUUUGUACUUCUCCGGUACCUGCAGAGUCCAAAUCCAAGACCAAGAAAUACCAUUGUUAAUAAUGUCUGGUGAGUCCGUGAAGGAGAGAAGCCAAGAGUAGCCACUUUUUGUAGAGUAGACACCGUUCUUGUUAUUGUUCCAAAUAAAGACAUCUUCGACGGUUGGAUUGAAGGUAGCUCUAUAGGUGUUGACGGUGUCAGCUAUUGAUUGAGGAAGGGCGGUGUAUAGAGCUUGGGUGUGUUGGCCAUUUGAGCUUAUCACAUCUUUUACCGUAAGGUGAAUGUCAUGAAUAUCAAUAAUGGGGACCAAAGAACCAAGGAGACCAUGGGGAUGCCAAUUGCUGAACCAAAAAGAGGAGGAACCGGAGCCCGGCCUCCAAGAAUAACCAUUUUUGAAAAUGUCUUUUGCACGAAUGAUAGCUGCCCAGGAAGGUGAACUGUUGCCGGAAACCUUCGCUUGAAGGACGUUAGGCCCUGUUGUAUAUUUAGCAGAAAGAAGAUUCACCCAUAACUUGUUUGUAGAUUGGACCAUAUCCCAAACUAACUUUCCAAGAAGACAAAUAUUAGCAUUUCGAGCUGUUCUAAUACCCAAACCACCAUACCAUUUUGGAGUAGUAAUUUUCUUCCAACUUACCAAAUGAACACCAUUAUAAAUUGAACCAAGCCAUAUAAAAUUGCGAGUUGUUUGAUCAAUGGAGUCACAAAUGUUUUGUGGGAGCCAAUUAAUUUGCAUGUAGUAGUAAGGUAUGGAAGAUAGUACAGACGUCGCUAGAGCAAGUCGACCUGUUCUGUUGAGAAGACGGUUUUUCCAAGAAGCCAACCGAGUUUGCAUCUUUUCGAUAAUGAAUUGGAAAUCACUUCUUUUAGGGCGGCCCUUAAGCAUAGGGAAACCUAGGUACUUGCCAAGGGAAGUUGUGCUGCGAAUGCCAGAUAUGGAAGUGAGGUUGUUGAUCUUCGCUUGUGGUGUCCCUGAAGAAUAGAAAGCUCUAGACUUGGAAAUAUUAAUACGCAAACCUGAUGCCCUGCUAAAACUAUUAAACAAAUCAUUGAUGAAAUGAAAUUGUGAAUUAUUUGCCUUAGUGAAUAGCAGCACAUCAUCUGCGAAGAGAAGGUGAGAAAUCUGGGGUCCUCCAUUAGUGAUGUGAAUAGGUUCCCAUCUUCCUUGACUCACAGCAUUAUUAAUAGCAAUAGAAAGCUUCUCCAUGCAUAGUAUGAAGAGAUAAGGAGAGAGUGGGUCACCUUGUCUAAGACCAUGUGUGGGCUUGAAAGGGGGCAUUUUGUUACCGUUCCAUAAAAUUGAGAAUGUGGAGGAGGUGACGCAAUGCAUGAUGAGUUUGAUGGUAAUAUCUGGAAAACCAAAAUCCUGGAGGCAAGAAUUAAGGAAAUCCCAUCUGACAUUAUCGAAAGCUUUCUCCAAGUCUAGCUUGAAAGCAACAUAACCUUUCUUCCUCUUUGACUUCCUCAUAAAGUGAAUAAUUUCCUGCAAAACAAUUGAGUUGUCAGAAGUUCCCCUACCUGGCAGAAAACUGCUUUGGCAAGGGCCAAUAAGAUUACUGAGAAUAGGUCUGAGACGAUGCACAAGAACUUUAGUGAUAAUCUUGUAGGUUAUGUUGCAGAGACUGAUGGGUCUAAAAUCUUUGUAUGUGGUGGGGGGGUCGAUUUUAGGAAUGAGUGCAAUGAGGGUGCUUGAAAUCUCCGGAUCAAAGUAACCCGUGUGAAAGGCUGUUUGGACCAUAUGGAAGAUGUCGUCUCCAACUAUAUGCCAAUAUUGUUUGAAGAAGAUACAAUGGAAGCCGUCCGGGCCAGGGGCUUUGUAUGGUUUCAUGGAAUUGAGGGCAACAAAAACUUCAUUUUUGGUGAUAGGCUUGAUGAGAGAAUUCUUUUCAAUGUCGGUAAUGGUUGUUGGAGCUGCUUCAUGGAAGAUGGGUGCGGUUGUUGGUUGAUGGCCACCAAAAAAAAUUUUGAAGUAUUUUUGGGCUUCUUCUUGAAGGAUGGUGCUAUCAGAAGACCAUGUGCCAUUAGGGAGCUGAAGUCGAUGAAUUCUAUUUCUCUUUCUCCUUAUGAUAGUUUGAGCAUGAAAAAAUGAGCUAUUUUUGUCGCCAAAUUUAACCCAUUGUUCUCUGGAUUUUUGGUACCAAAGCAUUUCUUCUUGGAAAAGGAUGUGAUUGUAUUCCUGUUGCAAUUCCUUUUCAAGGAGAGUGUGUCGAUAUGAGUCAACUCUUUCUAGGUAGUUUUGAACACCCUUGAGUCUAUUUUCUACAUGUUUCUUCCUUUUGAAAAUGUUGCCAAAUACUUCAUGAUUAAAAAUGAUGGAUUUUUCCUGAAUUGAACUUAAGCAAACAGUGAUGUUGUUAUUCUGAGGGAUCCAAGAAUUUUUUACCAGUUCCGCAUAAUCUUUGUGAUCUAUCCAAGCUGCCUCAAAGCGGAAAGGCCUAGGCCCUCGAGCUAAAGGGAGUCCACCAAAGCGGAGGAGGAGAGGAUUAUGGUCGGAGUGGAGUCUGCAGAGAACCUCAACAAAGGCUUCAGGGAAGGAAACACGCCAGUCCACGCUAGCUAUGCAUCUAUCAAGUUUUUUGGAGAGGGUGCGAAUACCGUUGUUGUUACGAUGCCAAGUGAAAUGACCACCCGUUGUUGUGAGGUCAAGAAGGUUGCAAUUAUUCAUAAAGUUAGAGAAAAGAGCAGCUCUAUUAUGAUGAAAAAUUCCACCUCUUUGGCCGCUAGGGAGAAGCGUUUCAUUAAAGUCACCUAUGAGCAUCCAGGGGGCAUCCAUAGUUUGGCCGAUGGACAUGAGGUAAUUCCAAAGGUUGGGACGUUGGGCAUGGUUCGGGCUAGCAUAAAUACAAGUGCAGUAGGUGUUUACAUUGCCACGGCUAAUUUUAAUUGUUAUGGAGAAUUGGUUAGAGUCAAGUACGGUUGUGGUGAUGUUGCUUGCAGAAUGUUGAAAGAGCCAAAUUCCUCCAGAAUGACUGUUAGCUUCUAUGAUGUGAACUGGUGUGUAACCCAUAUUGGACCAAAAAACUGAAAGUUUAGCAAAGGAAACAUGAGUUUCAAGUAUGGUGAUGAAAGUUGGGUUAUGCGUAUAUAACAAUUAAUAGUAUAUACAUGUUUUCUUUCCGCAUUGAAAUUCUUGUGUAUUAAAAGAACCUAAAUUUUUUAAAACAAAGGGAGCAUAGAUUUAAAAACUUUAAAAUUCAUAAACCUCCUGGUAAUUAGUUACACUCUGUAGGAAUAUGAUUAAGUUAAAAUAUACUUUAUGUUAUAAAAACUAAGUUCAUGCAUCCUAAAGUUUGACAUUUCAAAGUCUCUGAAACUUCUAGUAGUAAUAUUUAAUUAAUGGUAUAUUUUAUAUGAAAAAAAAAAUUAAUUUAUUAGUUUUACAUGGUAUAUUUUACAUUUAAUUUUUAUUUAUAAAAAUAUAUCACCUUAUUUUUCACUUUAUUAUUAUUUUUUUUAAAUCAAAUUCAUUUUUACGAAUAUAUUACCUUUAAUGGAUAAUAAAAUAUAUUUUUUCAUGUUGAUAAAUAUCCUUCAAUCUCACAUUACAAUUCGUCAUCUUUGAAGUUGAAUAAUAAUAUACUUAUUAUCAAUGUCAGAAAUACUACGAUUUGGUGAUGUGACAAGAGAUGACAAAAAGCUAAAGCGUAAGAUGGAUGAUGCUAUUGUUGCUGAUUCAGAGACAUUGAUGUCUCUGAGUUUAGGAGGAGGGAGAAGUGGAGGAUCUUCAUCCAAAUCCCUCAAGAUCCAUGAGAAGUUGAGGGAAUACCCAUGUAAGUUUUGCGAUAAGAAGUUUUCAAGUUCUCAAGCCUUGGGAGGACAUCAAGGUGCCCAUAAGCGUGAAAGAGUGCUUGCGAGAAUUGAAAAAGAAAUUCAAUUAGGAACUUUUAGACUUGGGGAUCAUCAUUUCUGUCCAUAUUCAAUUGGUCACCCAUAUCCCUUCACUAUUGCAGGGUCAUCACCUAUUUAUCAUGGACUUGGGUGGCCUCAACUUGUUGCUCAUGCAAGCUAUGGCAACCCAUUUGAGAUGAUCAAUAACUAUGAUUGGGCUACUCAAACUCCACUAAAUAAUAAUGUGGGAUUUGAAAAUCAUGACCUUAAUAAUCAGCAGCUGCAGGUUCCUUCAUUUGGUGUUCCUCUUAACAAUCAUGUCCAAGAGGGAAAUAACAAUCAUGAUGACCCAACUAGCCACCAAAUUUCAACCCCAUUCCCUGAUUUAUCACUUAAACUUUAGUAUCUUAGUUUGCUAUAUGCCUAUCUAGUCUUUUUUACUAUAAGAAAUAAUGUUAGUCACAUUCACUUUAAUACUCUAUUUUCAAUAUUCAAUCUCUUAUUUGCUGAUAUUUUAAUAAAUCAUGUAACUUUAUAUGAGAUCUAUUAUUUUUCAACUUAAAUCAGCAGAGAGGAAGUGUUGAAAAGAUUACAAUAUUGGAGUGAUGAGUUUUAUACUAGCUUACAUCUCAUGGUCUUUAAGGUUUUGUGGUUAUUUUUUAUUAUUUGUGUUAAGGUUAAUUGUGAUAAUUUUAAAUAAAAUUUUAAUUGUUGUCACGACUUCAGAUAUAUUAUGAUAAAUUAUAUGAACAAGUCUUCACCAAAAAAAAAAAAAAAUGAACAAGUUACAGUUAAUGUAUUUUCAAUUGGAUAAAAGAAAAUCUCGCACUCACACACAUAUAAUCUUAAACAUACAGAGAGACGAGAAUAAAAUAUGACUGUUUUAAUCGGUUUGCAAAACAUAUGGUGUGAGUUUCUCACUAACAUGAACUUUGUAUACUUAAGUUUGUGAUUUUAUUUAUAUGGACUAGGAAGAAAUAUUUGUUCAUGAGUUUUUUGUUGUUGUAUAAAUUAACAUUGUUUAAACUUUAAAGUGAUUUUCUCAUUAUAUAGUAUAGAUAAAUUUCUCAUUUACUUUGGGCAUGGCAGUAGAGCUCAAAAGAGACUUGCGUUGGUCAAACUUUUAGUCGUGCCAAGGAUUUGCAAGUCUCAUAAUAACAAAAUCUUCUCCGAUAAGAUUAUGUGUUUUGUGUAAGUGGUAGAUUAGUUAUCAUUUUAAAUCUACAUAAGACUUAAAUAUGUAAAUGGUCUCUGUAAAUAUUGUAAACUUGAGUUUUGGUCUCCGUAGUGAGACAAAUUUGAUGAUGUGGCACAAUUGACUAGGAAUUGGACACACAAACUCAUUAAAACCACUAUGUUAAGGACAAAACUAUCCUUGUCAUCCAAAAACCAACAAUCCCAACAUAUCUUGAAUCCCUCUAUCUUCAUCUUCUUUGUUUCCCUCUUCAUCCACCACCACUAUUAGAAUCUCUCCCUCUUUGAGACUUUCACACCCAAUUUUUACCUGUUUUUAUUAUGUGUAGAUUUUUUACCUAUGUAGAACAUACCACAUUUACAUGAUAGUAAAAAGUAGAUAAAUGGUGUCUAAACAUUAACACAAGCUAAAUUAUAUAGAAGAAUAAUAAGUGUAUAAAUUAUUCAACUACACAAAGAUGUAAUGUCAAUAAUGGCAUGUGCUUUCCAUAUUUGUCACUGCUUCACUGCAUUAUUGUUCCACAAAUCAUAAGCAGUAACUUAUCAAAGAGAAACUUAGUACACAGAAAAUAAUAUUCAUCAAACAGUAAUUUUCUUUCCCCUGAACAUGUUCCAGGUAAGAAAAAAUAAAUCUGGAAUGAGGCAAUGGUAGUAUUUGAGAUUCUAUAGUUCCAGCAUACUUCUGUAUAUUGAAACAGAAUAGAAAAUAGCUGCAUGUUUGAUGAGAUUAACAGCGAUAUGAUCCAAUAGUGUGCAAAAUAAAUCUCUGAUUCAACUCAUUGCAUAGCCAUUAUGCUUUUACUUGCAGAUCCUUGUGUGUAUAAAUCAUACUUCGAUCGCCAUCUACCACUUGGCCGUUCCCUCUCAAUACCCUGCAACAUAGCAUAUGAUUUAGUCUAAUUUUAAUUCAAGUAUUUAACCGUGAUAUAUAGAUAAAUGAAUGAAGAUAUGGUAUCGAAAUAACACAGACAUGAUUUAAUCGAUUAAACCCUUCAAUUGAUCGAUUAACAAAAGCUUCCUAAUCGAUUAACUAUUAAAAAAGUAAUCUAGAGAUUUACAAGAUAUCUUAUAUUGAUUUCUAAGCAUCUAAAGAUCUAACAAUUUGCGCACAGGACACGACCACAAGACUCGGAAAUCAUGGUGUUACAAAUAUCGAAAAAAUUGUUUGGUUGAUAUUUUAAUAUAUCCAUUGUAUUCAUUUAAUAAAAACAAAAACCAGAGACAUUGGAAAAUUCCAUACCAUCUAUUUGUUAACAAGCCCUCGACUCCUACCGGACCUCUGGCAUGAAUUCUACUUGUGCUUAUUCCAACCUGAUCAACAAAUAACAAAACUAAGAACAGUUGAGAGUACUGUGCUGCUAUUCUAAUUUAUUACACCAUGAUUCUUGAAAGUACAAUACCUCUGCACCAAGCCCAAAGCGUGCCCCAUCGCAAAACCUUGUACUUGCAUUGUGAAAUACGGCAGCACUAAAAGGAAAGAAAGAAAAAAAAUUCAAGUGUCAGCACUCAGCAACAUCUUGUUAAGAACAUUUUUCCUAUCAUGGAGUAAUUGUGUGUAUAAUAAACACAUCUUAUGUAAAAGGAAAUAAGUCCAAAUGAAACAUGAUAAGUAGUAGAUCAAAAGGAUCAGAUUAUUAACGGGUGUGUGUCUACUUGUCAAUAUCGUGUAUGUGUCUAUGUCGAGCUUCAUAGACUAUUAAAGGAUCAAACAAGACAUUAUGCGCAUACCUGUCAACUUGAUGUAAGAAAGUUUCAGCAACUUUACUAUCUUCUGUAACGAUGCAAUCAGUAUGAGAACUGCAGAAACAGGAAACAACAAAUACUUAUAAGAUAAUGAUGUCAAUAAUAAUAUAAUGACAACAAAGGUUUUCCAAGGGAACCCAAAAUUACCUUCCAUAUUCAUGUAUGUGGUCAAUCGCAGCAAAUACAUCAUCGACAAUCUCAAUUGUACAAGCCAGUGAACUAUACUCCAGAUGGAAAGAUUUUGCUUCAGAAAUUUUUAAUAAGACACUAGCUUUUGGUCCACCAUAUAGUUGAACACCUGAAAAUAGAUUAAUAUACACCAACAAUGUUAUUAUCCUAUGAUUUAUUGGGUUAAAUAUGCUUAUAUUUCCUAUAACAUUCAUAAGAUUAGUUUUAGUCCCCAUAAAGAAAUUCCGACUUCUAUUCAAAAUCUUCGCAAAUACAAACUGAAUAGAAAGAUAAGAAAUUAAGGUCAAACCUUGUUUUUGGAGUUCAGCAACAAGUUCAUUCAGUCCACCAUUUCCUGCUAGAUCUUUGUGAACAAGAAGGGUUUCCUAGGAAUAUCAUGAUACAACAUUAAAACGAGCAAUCUAAAAAUUCAAUUUAUAUACAUUAUUAAAUGAAAAUGUGCAAUGAUACACUUCAUGCAAUUUAAACUAUAUUCACCAUUGCAUUGCAGGCUGCAGGAUAAUCAGUCUUUGCAUCCUUAACAAUCUUCUUUGCCACAUUGAUAUUAGCUGCUUUGUCAAUGUAUACAUGACAUAUUCCAUCUGCAUAAUAAAGAUCACAAUUUAAUACUACGCCGGUCUCUAAUUAUAAGUGUCCUUCAAUAUAAUCUCUAUUUCAAUUUACGUACAUUUAUUAUUAUUUUUUUAAAAUUUAUCUCUUAUAUACAACUUUGUUUCCGAAGAUGGAAAGUCAUAAUUUGACACAUCUAUAUACAAAUGGAAAUGUAAUAAUAUUCGUACACAAUACAAAAUGUACGCAUUAAUUAUUAUACUACAAAUUUUUCCUAGGUUUGAUCACAAAUGGGAAAUAGGAAACUUAUAUUGUACUAUAUAUUACCAGCAUGACCGAGAACAGGAAUCUUUGUAGAAUCCUUGAUUUGAGAAACAAGCUUAUUACUGCCUCGAGGGACCACAAGAUCUAUCACGUCAUCAAGCUGUUGCAGAAUUUAGUUAGUUGAAAACCAUUUCAAAAAAAUAAUAAUAAAUAGUUUUGAAUUUUAGAUGUAUCAACCUUGAGUAGAUCAGGAAUUGCUUCCCUUGAAGUCACAAGGCCAAUAAGUUUGCCACCAACUGUAUCUGGUAUAGCUGAAGUAAUAAUCUACAACAAUGAAGAAAAAAAUAUAUGAAAUGAGUUAUUAUUAAUCAAUUAAUCAAUAUAAACAAUUACUUAUAAGCUAUUUCUAUAACAAAAGAUAAACUAAAGGCAAAUAGUUUUCAUGGAGAUCUUAUGAACAUAAGCUGAAUAGAGCUUAUGGAAAUGUCAUAAGUUGUUUUCAUAAAUUCUCUCAAACAGUCUCAUAAGUGUUUAUGCUAGUAGAUAAGGUCAAAUAAGUCAAUCCAAACAUGCUCUAAAUAAAAUCGACAAACCUUGUGUAAGACUGCAUUAGAUCUUUUGGCUUCCUUUCCUCCUUUGAGCAAUAAACCAUUUCCACUUCGAAUUGCCAAUGCAGCUAUCUAUUGAUCCAUUUCAAUAAUCAUUGUAAGAAUCAAUGUUCAACAUAUUAAACAAAUCGAAGAAUCGAAAAAGAAUAGGUAUGUUAGAACCUGAACAAGAGCAUCAGGUCGAGACUCGAAUAUAACUAGAAGUACACCCAAGGGACAUGAUAUUUUCUCCAGAACGAGUUUAUCUGCUAUCUGGACACAGAGAAGUAAUCAAAAUUAACAAAAUUGAAUGUCGAAAAGUAUCAUGCAAGAUUCAAUAACAUCAUUCAGUGUCCAAAAUUUGUUGUUAUUGAAUACUGCAAAGUCAAAUAUUAAAGAAAAAAAAUUGUUACAUUCUUUAAACAUGUAAAAAGUAGAAACCGAUGAAUAUUAGUACAUUAUAUCACAAAACAAAAUUUGUUUGUUACUUUUUAACUGAUAAAUAACACAAUUGUACAGUGGUUUUAACCUCAGUUCUCUUCAAAAUCUGACCAAUGGGUUCAUCCAUUUCUGCCAGCUUGCGAACAGACUUUACAAGACUAGCAAUCUGAAAAACACAAAUCAAGGUUAGGUAAAAACUUUCUUGUUGAAAGAGAAAACAUCAUACAACUUAAGAUUAGCUUCAAGCUAUGAGGCACACACAGGUACAAAGAUACAUAAAAUUUUUAAAAUUCACGAUAUGAUGGAGCUUGGAUACGUUAACGAAAUAAGAUAGCAAAACUUGUAUAGAUAUGUAAUACUUAUAAAGAAAGAGACAUUGAUCAUUUCUCAUUAUUAUGUUUACGAUGAUCAUUAUUAACAGAAAAAUGUCUGCGAUCAUAUAAGAAAUAAUAAAGUUGCCGCUUAUAACAAUAUAUAUUAUAGAUAUCAACAAAAACAUCUUUAGUAGAACUCAAAACAUUCAUACUAUAACAUCAUAAAAGAGAAUUAAUGAUGAUAAGAUCGUUUCAAUUUCUUCGCCUUCAAAUUUGUUUUUGUUUGCACAACAAAAACAAAAUUAUUGCAAAGAAGAUUAUCUUUCACUAUUUAGCCAAUUAAGUACUUACCUUCUCAGGUCUCAGUGUCAAACGCGAUAUCAGUGAUCUCUCAUAUCCAGCCUCCUCUGCAUCAGCAACAUCAGAAGCAUUCUCAAGCCUGAUCUCACUUUCAUUUUUCUCUAUAGCAGCAGCCACAUCCAACAAUAUUUUCUUCCUUUGUUCAGAAUUUAGAAUCUGAAACCGAAAGCACCAAGACGUGUUCAUUGUAUUAUUGGCAACAAUAUUAUAUAUAUAGUUAGUUAGUUGUUGGCGAAUAAUUUGUUAUUAGUUAGUUAUUAAACUUACUAUCUACAUAAGUGAUGUAACCCCUUGAAUUGUAAUCAUAACAAAAGUAGCUAAAGUAAUCGUCAUAUGAAUAAAUUCAUGAAAAUAAACCUUGUUUUUCACAUUCUAAAUAGGUAAAUACCUGAAGCUUCCUAGAGCUGUCGCGUGCUGCAACUGCCAUUUCAUGUGCAGUUAUUUCCUUUAUGCUGGUCCACAAGUGAGCAUCCUUAUGGAAUACAGUACCAAUUCUUUCUCCUUGAAGCACUCGCAUGAUGUUGUCAUUAGGAUAGCCACUUGAAAGGAGGUUGAAGUGAAAAACAAUGUCAGAAAAAUGAAAAUUUUAAACAUAUGGUUGUACUCGGGUAGUAAGGGCUUUUUCAAACUCAAAAUUGCAUAUCAGAAAAUUAACGAAAAAAAUGAACAUGACAGAAAUGAUCAUAUAUUCUCAUCACUUGAACCUAGGUUUUUUAUUUCUCUGCGAUCACAGCCUAGUCAUGAUUAAGAACAAGUUAGCCGUAUUUGAUUGCGAAUCUCCACAAUAUCAAGGAUUGUAAUGCGACCGCAAUUUAAAACCUUAUCCAUAACCAGAUUGAAAAUAUUUUAUCAUUUAUGCAGUUUCAUGAUCAAUAAAGGAUAAUAAUCUUUUACAAACUAGUUGACAUGAUUACAACUUUUAAUAUUCAAUUUAGUGCUGUCAAUCACGGAUUACAGGAAAUAACAGUUUGUUUAAAUUCCACUAUGCUACCGUGCUAUAGCACAGGUACAACGGCUACUUGAAAACACUUUAUACUAAAUAGCAUAUCGCAGAACAAUAAUGAUUUAUUAAAAUUCCUAUAGUGCUAUAAAACUGCUACAUCCACUAUUUGGCAACACGGAAACAAUUCAUUGAAACAAUUUCUCUUUGGAUAUGUUGUAUCGAAAAUCGAAACAAAAAAUAGUUAUUUUCAGUGUCAAUAGUCUACUUUAAACACUACAUGAUACCUGGUGAUAAUCACAGGUGUGCCUGAAUAAGCAGCACAAACAGCAGCAUUAACCUUAGCAGUCAUACCCCCUCUGCCCAAUCUUGACUUGUCUCCAAAAGUAAUUUCUGUUUGAUGUUUUUCUCUGACAUAUGUGUGAAUUAACUUCGAUUUUGGGUCAGAUGGUGGACCAUUAUAAAGGCCCUCAACAUCACUCAGUAAAACAAGAAGGUCAGCUUUGAGUUCCAAAGCCAAUAGACCAGCCAAACUAUCAUUAUCCCAGAAGAUACCGGAUGAAUCCUGCAGAAGCUUACAAUUAAAAGUAACUUCGUCAGAAAAUCAAUCAAAUAGGGGUUAAAGUAGGCCAAGCUAGGCUAGGCUUUGCAACAACCGAGCCUGAUCUACUUUAAAAAUAUAAGCUCUGAGCUUGGCUUAUUACCAAUCAUACGUCCAUUUUUAAGGCCUGGUCUGACCUUUUUGAAAGCCUGACAAGGCCUGUUGAAAAGCCUACUUCACUAUUUUCUUCAUAUUUCAAAUCAUAGGUUACUAAUCUGGUCUUUAAUAUGAGUGAAAGAAAGUUUAUGUAUUUGUCAAAAAUAUGGACCAAAUACAUAAACCUUCUUUGACCGACUUUUGCUUAUAUUUGAAACCGGAGUACUGUCUUUUACAAGGAUAAUUCAAAUAAUAUAGUUGAAGGAAAAGAAGCAUACCUCAUAUGGUGCCUUCCUAGUACUCACAGCAUCAUUUUCAUUGAAAAUGGGGAUGACCCUUAACUCUAAUAACGAGUGCACAGUGUCAGUUAGUUGUUUUCUGAAAUCUGCAUCCCGAAAAAAUCCAUCAUUCACAAGAAGUUGUGAUGAAGUCACAUCAAGCUGCAUCACGGAAAAUCACAUCAAUAAGAAGGAAUCAGUUCGAUUAAUAGAAAAAUAGUUCAUAUGUCAAAGAAAUACACACAUAUACAAGAUUCGCGACAUAUUGAAUUAGAAGCUUAAUAUUAUGUUUACCUGACUAAACAUGAUAUCAUAGAGAGCCAUGAGACUGCUCUGCCCAACAGCUGCGCAUGCUUUCCCAUCAAGUUCAUAUUGUGGAUUUUGAAGAUCAGAAAAGCUACAUAACAAGUAAAUUUAUAUCAGCCUGUUGAUAAACAGAAUCAUGAAAAAGUUCGUACUAAGAUCUUCAAAUAUUAUGCUAAUUCAUUGUUGUCAUUUACGGAUUGCAAAAUGUAGCAGUUUGUUUAAAUUCCGUUAUGCAGCAGUGCUAUAGCGCCAUUAUAUUUGCUAUUUGACAACAUUUUGUAUUAAAUAGCGUAUCAUAGAACAAUGACGAUUUGUCCAAAUUCAGCGUCAUUUUAGCGCCACUAUAUCCAAUAUUUAAAAAAACUGCAGAGCCAAUCCUAAUUAAACAAUUUCAAAGAACAGAACUACAGAAAGCGUUCAUUCUUCAAGUUUGCAAUUAAAAGAUUGAACUACUUCUUGAAACACAAUGUUUUUAAUUAAAUGUAACACAAUAUAUUC
Molecule: long non-coding RNA, 75578 nt
Filed under: Medicago truncatula (barrel medic)
Lineage: Eukaryota; Viridiplantae; Streptophyta; Magnoliopsida; Fabales; Fabaceae
Description: long non-coding RNA (MTRU_LNC005182)
Rfam family: MIR2617 microRNA precursor family (bases 58895-58980)
Source: RNAcentral